GUAAUUGUUAUAAUUACAUAGAAUAAAUUAGGAUUAAAGGGUUGUAGGAUAUAUACCUUUGUUUUGCAAUGUAUAAAUUUCUGUGAAUCAAUGAAGAAAACAGUAGUCAACUUAGGGCAAUCUCUUACUUUCAACUGCGUCAUUUCUGGGAAUACAAAAUGAUAUCCUUUGGGACAAAAGUGAAUGAGGCCAGGUAGUUCUUCAAGUGAUAAAUUUAGUAAUUUAUCAAAUUUCAUCUCCUCUUCAGCUACCACUUCCGCUUUUUCUUCUAAUUCGAAUACUUGUUCCAAUUUAGAAUUUCUUUCUACUAUGAGCCUUUCAAGCUUUGGAAGAACAGGAGCAAAUCCAAAAGGAAAGAGACUGCUCAAAUUUUUACAAUCUAUAACAACAAUCUCAGUCAAAUUUGGAAAGCUCAUAGGUUGGAGGCUAGUAUCACCAUUUGAUGAUGAUGAAGAAACUUGAUCCUUGGCUAAAAUGAGUCGCUCUAUUUCCUCACACCCCUCGAUGAAAAGACCCUUCAAAUGUGAUAAACUGCGAGCCAUCAUAGGUGAAAAUAUAUAUCUUAGCUUCUUGCAAUCUCUCAGUGUUAGAGUUGUAAGGUUCUCAAGGGUUACAACUUGAGCAAAAUCAUUCCAUAUAACCCGCACUUCAAAUAAAUUCCUCAAUUCCAAUGUUUUUAUGCUUGAGAACGAGUACCCGCCUUGAACUUGAAAUACUUCUUCAUGAUUCCCAACUACUAUACAACCUUCAUUCAAUACAGGAACAUCAGUGUUGCAUAAUUGGCGGAAAUUUCCCACGUUACUAAGAGUCAAUUCCUGCAUACACAGAAAUCCUAAUAAAUGUCAUAAAAACACACUAGAGUAAAUGUUACCCAUAAGUCUUCAUAAUUUUACAUAUUCCAAGUAAUAGAAAAUACUACUCUAAUCUCAAUGCUACAUGUAUCUUUGAUUUUUUUAAAGGAUAUGUUUUUUAAAUCUAAACCCCUAAAAUAUCUACCAAAUUAAUUAAACACAAAAGGCCAUACAAUGGAAUUCAUUUACAAAAGUAUGUAUAAAAGAGGAAUGAAUUAUCACAUGAACUAAGCAACAUAUCGAUUUUCUGAUUUGCUAUAGUGCAAAAUCCAUAUAUAAAAUGCGAACAAUCUAAAUACCUCUAUCAGCUGAGCUUGUACAAUGAAGCAUGAGAUUUGGGGACAAUUUGACACUUCUAAAUUUUUCAGAAAGGGCACAUUAAGUAGAAUGUGAUCACCAAGCACAUCCCUUUCUUCUUUCAAACUGAAGAAUUGUAGUAGUUGAGGGCAGUUCAGUAGGAAAACAGAUUCCAACAAUGGAAAUCCCUGAGUUAAAGUGUUUGCAAACACAUAUUUCAAUCGUUGGCAAUCCACUAUCCAGAGAGUUUUCAAUUUUGUCCAGCAAAGAUUCUACAUGAAUGAACCACAUAUUUAGAUAUUAUGCAAAAUAUAUGUGUAUAAAUAAAAGUGAGGAAUAUGAUUUAUUAAACAUAAUUGAAGUUUUAAAGAAUUUCUUUAUCAAAACAUAUGAAUAAGAAAUAAAUUGAUCUUCCAACGUAUCAGUUAUAAAGAAAUGUAUUUAUCAUAUUUCGCAACUAUGAUACUCCAACCACUUUAAAAUACUUAAUUAUGACUAUUAAAAAAAUAAAAAUAGAAUAUUCAUGGUAAUAGCCGAUGAGAGAGAGAGAGAAUUCUAAUUGCAGCUUCAAUUUUAAAAUAAAUGAAUUAUAAAUAACUUUUAAAAUAAGGUUGAAAUAUUAAUUAUUUUAUGAACAUAAAAAUGAAUUUGAGUCCAAAUACCUGUAAUCCAAAUCCAUCCUUAUUUUUUUCCGUGUUGAAGAUUUGUAUAAGUCGAGGACAAUCUUCUAUAUCAAUAGAUUCCAGGUAGGGAAAUCCUUGACUUGAACACAAAUAUUUCAAGUUUUCACAUCUUCUAAUUUUGACAACUUUCAAUUUUGGCAAGAACAGAGAAGACUGAUCUUUUAUGUUUGAAACAUCUAUUUCAUCCAUGUUUUCUGCUUCUCCGAUUAAAUGUUCUAAAGAGUAGCAAUCCCAAAUCCAAAGAAAUUGCAAAUGCACCAAAGUUCGAGCAGUGAUUUCCGAAAAGAGAUAUGUGAGUUUAUGACAUUCAGUUAUAUCCACACUACGGAGGUAAUGGUUCGGUCCGUUCCACAUGUACUUCAAUUCUGACAAUGAUAUUAACCUCAAAAAAGUUAAAUUUGUCAGAGAUUCCUGUCAUCCAAUAAUAUUUGUUAGUUUAAUCUAAUCACUAAAAUAAAUUGAUUGUACAAUGAUAUACACACUAAUUUUAAUAUCUCACAUAUAUUAUCAAAGCAAAACAAAAAUCAUAAUAAGGUAAAUUAAUUCAAUAAAUUUCUAAAAUAUAAUUAUUAUAUUACAUUAAAAUAAAAUAUUAAAGCGUAACAUCAUGAGAAAAUAAAUAUAUAAUAUUUCUCUAUUUUAAUUUUUAAUAUACAAAUAAUAAAGAGCGUGGCUCUUGAACAAAAGCUAGAGGCUGCAUCGGUUUGUUUGAAUACUUAGAAUUUCAAAAAUCAAUAAAUUACAAUUAUAAAAAGUAAUAAUAUGUAAUAUUCAUUAAAAAUAAAUGAAAGCAAAAAUACUCUAUGAAUUUUAAAAUAUUUAUCAUUAAAAGUACCUGUGAUCCAAGUUCAGGAAGCACAAUGUUUUGUUCCAUGUUGUAGACUUGUAUAAGUUGAUGACAAUUCUUUAUGUAAACAUAUUCCAAGGAUUGAAUCAAAGUGUUUGUAGAAAUAUAUUUCAAACUUUCACAAUCUUGUAUGUGAAGAAAUCUCAAUUUCGGCCAGCAAUAAAGAAGACAAUCAUUCUGCAUGUUUCAAACACAUUUUAGUAAGUUAUUUAUUUUAAAUUUCAUAUAGAAUCACAAAGUUCAUGACCCAAGAGAUUAUCUUGAGCAAUUUUGAAUCAAUCAAAUCUUCAAAAGAUAAUAUUUCAAGUGGCAUGUUCUUCUAUAAUGGGCUAAAAAUCAACCAUAGACUCAGUCAUAGCCCAUAAAAGUCAUUCAAUGAGUUGUCAAUAUAAUAAAUAUAUAUGGAAAUUAUCUCUAUAUUGAUUUGGUGCUCUAGGGAGUAGGCACUCCCUCGAACACCAAAAUCCUAAUUUCAUAUUUUUCAAUAAUAUCAAACCGACCUUGUAAGUUAGCAAUCCAAGGAUAGAAGAAAGGUGUGGCAUGGAAUUAAUUGAAGGCUUUUCUAUAAAGAAAUUAUAAAAUCUAAAUAAAAAGGAGAGACACAACAAUUCAUUAUGCAGUUUAUAAGCCUAUAAAUAGGUUUAAUAUAUUUGUGAUAUGUAUAAGCGAGCGUGUGGAUGAGAAGAAAAAGAAAGAGUGAAACAAAACAAAGGUGUGUGACUUUGUGUGCAUGAAAGUGGAAAUAAGCAAAGUGUGUAUAACUAGUUGUAGGUAGUAACUGAAAGGAAGAGGAAAAUAUAUUUGUAUUUUGCAUUGGUGUAUUUGUUUUGAGUAAUAAAAGCUACUUUCUUUAGUGGCCACUAUGCUUCCAACAAACCCGAUACACAUAAAUAAUAUAAAAAUAAAUACCAAACCAAGCACUUCACUUCAAAUUGGUUUUUGGUUUUCUUGCAAUUUGUUUCAUCCUUAAAAGAAUGCUAUCAUAAAGCUAAAACAAUUAAGAAGAUUAAAAAAAUUGGAGAGAAUAGGUAUCCCUACCUCAAUAAUCUCGUCUUCUUGGCCAAAACCAAUGACUUGCUCUAGUCGAUCGCAGUACCUUAUAUAAAGUUCUUCUAGAUGCAACAUACUUAAAGCUAGGCAAGGUGAGAAGAUUGUUUUCAGAUUAUCACAAUAGUCAAUUCUUACAACCUUUAGACUUUGGAGGCUUGCAAUUGCACGAUGGGAUUGCUUUACUUCCCAUAUCCUCUCCAAUUUCGGCAAUGAAUAUAGUUUCAAUAUUGUUAAAUUUGAGAGCAAUGGUGCCUGACAUUUCACUUUUUCAGAAAGUUUAUCCAUUUGAAAUAUCACUUGUAACUCUUCACAACGUUCGAUGCUCACUUGCUUAAGGUUUUGCAAGAACCUACUCGGAGAAACACCAUAGCACAACCCUUUCAAAGAAACCAUGCUUUCUAUAUUUAAUUCCACCAAAUUAGAGAAUGCAACAGUUGACCCUUGAUCCUUUUUUGUAUCAAUCAAGAAUUCCAUAUCAUUGCAAGAUUCUAGAUGCAGAGAAGUCAACUCAUUUACUCCCAUUUCAUCUAUGCUUGGCACAAUAUUCUUUUGUCCACCAACAUUCCUCAAACUCAACUCUUCCACAUUGCAAAAUAAAUUGUUAAAUGCACUUAUUGAAGAUGAGAAAUUUUGAAUAUUCAAUCUUCUAAACGCCUCCCGAUCGCUACUAUAAUAUCCUCCAACUAUAUCGUACCUUUGUAGUUUAGGGAGCACAAAAUCUUCUUGAGGAAUUUGAUUAGUAGAAAGUUCCAGUGAUAGUGCAGUUAAACGAGACAAUGACUUCAACUCCAAUAAGUUGAGAUUAUUUUUGGUUUCGACAUACAACUCUUGUAGUGAAGUCAACCUAUUAUAUUCAUAAAGAAAGUAGCAUUAAUUGAAAAUUUAUGUGACACAAUCCACAUUCCAUGAGGUAAAAAAAAAUUGUAAUUCCUUGAAGUAAUUCAUAAAAAAGAAAUAUGUAAAAAAAAAAAAGAAGACAAAAACUUGAAAUAAAUCAAGAUAAGUAAUAAAAGGACACUAUUAAAAUUAAAUAAAAAAAUCUCUAAAUUUUUUUUAUCACUUUCAAAGAAAUUUUCAAGAGGUUAAUUUUUUUUCUUUUUAACAAUUUAUCUCAAAAUUUCUGGGUCUAAAACAUAAGUAAUUUUUCUGGUUUUUUUAUAAUAAUUUUUUCACUCUCAAAUUUUAUAAAAAAGUCAUUUUACCCUUCCAUUUAAAAGUCAUUUUACCCUUCUAUUUAAAAUUUCACCUUUUAUAACCCUUAAAUUUAUGGUUUUUUUGUUAAAUCAUCUCAAAAUGAAUAGAAAAGUUAAUGUUUUUAAAAUUUUGCUGAUGUUGAUAUACGUGAAUUAACACAUGAAUAACACAUUAUCCAUAAUAUAUAUAUAUAUAUAUAUAUAUAUAUAUUAAAACAUAUCUAAUAGUAAAAAAAAUUAAGCAUUUAUCUUGAUGUUUUAUUAAAAUUUAAAGUCUUUAUUGUAUUAAACUUCCUUAAUUAAUUUUUAUUGAAUAUUUUAUAUAUAUAUUUUAUAUUUACUUUAAUAUAUAUAUAUAUAUAUAUAUAUAAAACACUUAAUUAUAGUUAAUAAAAUUUUUUAUUUUCCUUGGCAACCCACAUAUCUAUCCACAUACACUUCAGAAAUUAUAUUAUUUGUCUUAUAUGAAUAAUUUUAAAUUUAUAAAAAUAUUCAAAAAAUAAAAAAAUUGAAAUUCAAAAAAAUAAAAAAAAACUAUAAAAUUAAAAAAAUAUAGCAUGAAGUAAGUAUGGAUUGGAAUGUGGGUGUUCAUGUUUAAAAACUUAACAUUUUAGUUAGUAUUUCCGUUAAAAAAUAAUUCAACAUUUUUUAAAAGGUUGAUGCUAUUUUUUAAAUGUCCAUAACCAAAUUUAAUUAAAAACCGAAUAAGGACUAAAUUGAUAAAUGAUGUCAAAACUAGUAUACUAAAAUUAAAAAUACCAAUUAAAGUAAUUAAGAGGAAAAUAAAUUAUGUCAAACCAAAUACGAAUAUGAUAAAAAGAAAAUUAAAUCUGAUGCACUCUUACCUUGAUACCAAAUUUGGGGGGAUAUUCAUUUCUUUUUCAACUCCAACACCAGAAAGACAAAAAUAUUUCAGUGCAGACAACUUCACUAAUUCUUCACUUAUCUCAUCAAUUUUAGUGCCAAUCAAUGCAAGAAUCUCAAGGCUUCUCAUAUUUGUCAGUGAUGAUGAGAAGUUUUCCAGCUCGCAAUCCACACAACACAAAGUUUUAAGAUUUGGUAAGGAAGGGAAUCCUUUCAGUGAGAAGCUGACACAUUUGAGAAGUAAAACUUGGAGGGCUUUCAUUUCUUCAAAAAAUGUACCGAAAACCACUAGGAAAUUAUCAUCUCGGUUCCUCUUCCACUCACCCUCUAAAAACAAAGUUUUGAGCUUUGAAAAUUCCACUUUAUCAGGAAAAUUUUUUAUGAUACUACUACAAUUCCAUAAUGCGAUUGCAGUAUAACUUUCAUCCAUAUGAGGCCAUUCUUUCAACUUAUCUUUUACCAUGAACCUAUUUUCUCCCGUUGAUGUUAGCCAAUGAGCAAAAUCUCGAAUCACAUCAUGGAUUCUAAUCGUAUCUGCACCAUCAGUUUCCAAUAACAAGCCAGAUUUUUGGAGUUUUUUUAGUGCUUCAAUAAUUUUCUUCCUUUUAUCUUCAAUCGAGUAAACAUUAGGGAACAAUCCUACUCCAAUUCCGCACAUAAUCAAUAUCUCAAUACUGAUUUCUUUAUCUUCAGGAAAAAGGGAACACAGUAAGAAACACAUUUGGAUGUGAUUUCCCGUCAUUUGGUUAAUGCCUUUCUUCAAGUAAUCGUAGCUAAGCUUAAGAGGCUCGAUGACACCCCCUAGGACUUCUUCAUCAUACAAAUGCGUUGAGUCCUUGAAUCUCUGAUUUGCGUCUCUCCACCCAUUUAAACUCUCACCUUUUAAAGCUUUGGCCACGACAACAAUUGCAAGAGGCAAUCCCUUACAUUGAGCAGCAACCUCUUUGGCUACAUCAUUCAAGGUGGAACAAUCAUCUUCUAAACCAGUUUUAUCUCGAAAUAAAACCCAUGCUUCGUCUUCGGAUAAGAUGUCAAGUUGAAUUUCCUUACAGUUCAUUUUAGUGCAGACUUGUUGACGACGUGUAGUCAGAAGAAUUUUACAACCCUCGUGUUCAUCACCGAAUGGAAUUCCGAUUCUCUCCAUUUUGAAUUCUUCCCAGAGGUCGUCGACAAUUACGAGGAUUUUGUUCACGCGUUGCAUACUCCUGAAUAGCUCUUCUGCUCUUCCUUCUUCUGUAUUUGUAUGAAAAUUUAAACCAAACAUCUCUGCAACUUUAUCUUGAAUUGUUCUGAUGUUUGGAUUUUGGGACAUAGUAAACAUCACAACUUUAUCAAACAACUUUUGUUCUCGAGCAUGCUUCCCAACUUCUUUGGCUAAAGUUGUUUUACCAACUCCUGGCAUUCCGUGCAGUCCGAUCAUGUUGACACCCUUAGCAUUUAUAGCCUCCAUGAUCUGGUUGAAAGCUGAUUGUGAAGAUUCAGAGUCCAUGAAAUCAGCGGAUGUGAUGAACUCUAUGCCUUGAAGAGGACGACGAUAGCCCACCUGUGCAAAGUUAGAAGUCUCAAAAAGUUUAGAGAUAAUAGGAGUCUUCUUUGCCAGUUUCUUACUUAAGGAAUAUCGCCAGCCCCAUUUAGGACACCAUUUGAAACACUUGACGCGAUCUAUUUCAUCUUGCAAGUUCUGGGUUUCUUCCAGUUCUUGCUCAGCACUUCUAAGCCAGUUCUUAACGUCAUCAUAGAUGAUCUCAGUUUGCCUUUUAGCCUCAUCGACAUCAGUGUCCACCCUCUGUUUCGUCAAUUUAAGUGCCAUUCGUUGAUUCUUGAAAUCUUCAACAAUCUGUCCAUAACGGAAAAAGUAACGGAGAUAAGGUGAUGCGAAUUCCUUUGCCUCGUUUGCCACAAUUCUGACAGCAGCAGGGGCAACAUAUUCGGCCAUUUUUGUUGAUAGUCUGAUGAGAUUGAAAAAAAAAAUUGGUUAUUAGUAAGAAGAUUAACAUAAAGAGAAAUAAAAGCAAUUGUGACAUAUAAAAUCAGUAUUUGUAGUAAAAAAUCGAGUGGAAGCUACCAAAUAAGAAGCUGUAAAUAUUGAUGUAAAGCAAAAAUGUUGUUAUUGAAGAAGGUAGAAAAUACCUCUCUUUCUGUCUGUGAAUACCAGAAAGUAAAAAGAGCUUGAGAGAAAUAAGUAGCUGUAAAAGAUGAAAAGAAUUGAUUUAGCGCAGGUAAUAGAAAAAUAAUAAUAAUAAAAUUGAGAGCAUGUUUUAACCUUCAUAUCACAAAUAAAUAAAUAAUUAAUUAAUGUAAUGCAAAUAAUAUAACCAUACAUGCACACUCAAUCCUAAUUACUCUUCCCAUUGUAUUCAUUCUAAAUCGGAGCUAUAAUUUGUAUGUGAAAUACCAUCAUAUUCUUUUAAAAACAAUUUCUCAUAAAGAAAUCCUAAAAAGGAUUACAUUCUCUUAAAACAUAUUUUCUAUUUAUUUCUACAUUUUCGAUUAUAGAUUGGAUGCUUUUAAGUUCCUAUAGAAUUAGAGUUUGUGUGCUCUCUAAAAUGUUUAAUGAAAAAAAACGAGAAAACUAAUGAAUGGAGAAAGGACACUCUUCAUUUGCCCCUUUCCUGUUUGAUCCGCAUGUUAUAUACUUCAACUCUGAGUAAAAUCUGAUUCGAUUCGAAAAUUUUGAUAAAAAAAUUUAAAUUUUGAUUUAACUAGUUCAAGUUAUUUGAGUUAAUUAAGUUAUUCGGAUAAACUCGAAUUAACUAGUUCGAGUUAUUUGAGUUAAUUAAGUUAUUUGGAUAAACUCAAAUUGACUCGAAUAUGAAUUACAGAAUUCGAGUUAUCCGAAAAUCCGAAUUAGAAAAGAUAAAACUAUGCCAUUUUGAUAAAUGUGUACCUUUCUAAAGUUAAAAAUCAAAACCAUUAAAUUAAAAGGUAAAAUUACAUCAUUUUGAUAAAUAUUUACUCAUUAAGUUAAGAGGCAAAACCAUUAUAUUGUUUAUGUAGUUAAAUAAUAUUGUACUUCGUCUGCUAGUUAAAUAAUCGGUCCAUGUAAAUGCAAUGUUGAAUAUAAAUAAUAGGAUUGGUUAACUCGACUCAACUUGACUCGAAAUUUUUUACUCAAUUUGAUUUGAUUAAAAAAAAUCAAAUUGAAUUUAUCAACUCGACUAACUCGAAAUUUUUCGAUUCGACUCUACUUAAUCAAAUACUCACCCUAGUUCCAAUGUUCUUGUUCUAGUUUGUUCAAUCUUUAAAAUGAAUCUAUAAACUCUUUAAUUAAGACGGAACUUGUAUGAAACCUUUUUUUAUGAAAAAUAAAAUCACAAGUGAUUUAAAAUGACUUCAACCAAACUAAUAGAAAUUUGAGAAUGCCAAUAAAUAAAACGGAGAUCCACUCAACAAAAACAUGAAAACAUAUAGCAAUGAGGAGCAGUUCCUCAAAACUUACCUUCACUGAACUAUCCUCUGCGCUGUUUCUUUUGCCAAGUGGAAAUCAAGGUAUGAAGAAAGUUUGGUUUUCAGAAAUAAAAGAAAUUUUGCAGGUUUUUUUUUCCCCCCUUAAUUGAGACAAUACAAGAAUAUGUGAAGACUGGAAAACAAAUAGUGGAAAUUAUCACACACAGAUUUUUUUUUUUUUUUUUUUUUUGGUGAUGAUCACAGACACAGAUUUCAGAAUAUGUAAGCAAAAAAGGAAAUGACCACAAACACAGAUUUGAGAAUAUGGAAGCAAAAAAGGAAAUGAUCAGAAACACAGAUUCGAGAAUUAGAAAGCCAAAAACAAAGAGUGGAAAUGAUGAGAAACACAGGUUUGAGAACUUGGAAGCAAAAAACACUUUGGAUGAGGAAGAAGAAUGGGAAGUCGUUGGUUUAACUUUUUUUUAUUUAAAUUCAUAAAACAAAUUAUUGUUCAUCAUUCUUUUCUUUAUUAUAAUAAAAUAAUCAUUAUUUUUAUUACCAUUAAAGUCAAUGUCUUUGUUAAUGUAAAAUUCCAUUUUUUAUAUUUUUAUUUAUUUUAAUUACCGUUAACAUUGAAGUUUUUAUUGAAGUAAAAUAUAUAAAGCUGCUUUUUGUUAUUGAAUAUUAUAAUAUUUUAUAUAUACUUUAAUGUAUAGUUAAAUCAUUAUUAAUAAAAAUUUGAUAAUUUAAUAUAUAAAUGUCUAUUAUUUUAUUUAUUUUCAUUACCACCAAUCGUGAAAUUUUGACUUAGUGGCAAAGAGUAUUAGGUAGUAAGCACGAGAACUUGGGUUCAAUCCCAAAGAACCCUAACCCUUACCCUCAAAUUUGUUGAGAAAUGUGUCUAUAUUGUAGUAAAUAUGCAAUUAUUUUCUAUGUACUUGAACGAUAAAUAAAUAAAAUUAAUUUCACAUUUCACUAUUAUAUCUUUGUGUUUUUGUCUUUAAUAUUUUGCAUAAAUAGAAAAAUUAUGAUAAACAAAUGUUAGCUUAAUGAUUUUCUAAGUUCAAACUGAUGAUAAGUGGCAUUGUAAGAACGUUUACAUUACAAGAAAGACAGCUUACAUUAAUAGGUAAUCUAAACGAGUUCAUAAUUCUGUAAAAGAAUCAAAGAGUGAAUUUGAUUCAAAUACUUAAAAAAAUUAUUAUGUCAUCUACAAUUCUAAUUAGGGAGAUGACUAAUUUUAUCUAUCGCAACAGUUGACACCAUGGGUAAAAACAUAGAUAUACUCAUUGGAAGACUGAUAUAUUGAAUUAAAUCUAAGUUGAAUUAAUACUGAAUCUGUUUGUGAAUUAAUUCACAUCUAACAUUCAUGGUGUGUGACCUACCGUCAAUUGUGGUGGUAGUUUUAGUACAUUUCGACACUUCACGAACUUGUUUUCUGGCUAUUUUAUAUUUAUUUAUUACAUUUUCAGCUUUCGCAAUUUAGAUUUAAUUAUUUACAAAAUAAGUGUUUUUACAUACUUUUUAAUAUUUUGAAAUCUCAUAAGGCCAACAUGGAUCUUGAGGGCGACUAAUAGGCUACUUGAGUGUGUCGGGUGUCAAUUCAAGCCCUAAAAUAUAAAGGACAACGGACUUCAUUAGGAAACUUUUGACUUAAAUUCCUUUUUUUUCUUGAAAUAGACACAGUACCCCUAAUUUUUCCAAGUUGAUAUGAACUAUAACUUGAUUUGCUUUAGAAUUUAUAUGAAUUCUAAUUUUUUUUCUUGAAAUAGGUACUAUGGGCUCACUAUUAAUAUUUAAUUUAUUUUUACUCUUUUUUUAGUAAAGUCCUAAUUUUGUUAAAACACAUUAUUUUCAAAUUAGACCUCUUAAUUAGAUUUUGUUUUAGAUUAAUACAAUAUACCUAAUUAUUCUAAACUCCUAAAUUUUAGGUUGUUACAAUAUGAAUUCUAAAUUGAUUUACCCAUAAAAAUAAAUAAAUCGAUCUCUCGGACUAAAAUAUAAAAGAAAUUAAAAUAAUUUAUAAAAAUCCAAAGAGGAAUAACCAUGGUUAAGCCGUGUAUUUAGAGCAUUAAUUUGAAUUUGAGUUUAGUUUUCUUUAUGCUCCUCAAUUAAUGGAAGAAAAGAAUAGUGAGAAAUUACUACUUACCGAGAUUGUGGGUUUCUUCACUCCUUUUUAGGAAUUGUCAAUGAAUUCCUCACGCGGUCACCUUUUUAUUAUUUUUAUGAUGAAUAAUUAAUUAUCAAGAGUCUUCACCACUUUCGCCUGGGACAGGCAUCGUUGAUGAAUUAUUGAUGCUGCUACUUGUUACUAUUUUUAUGAUGAAUAAUUAAGUACGAAGGGUCUUCACCACUUUUGCCAGUGGGAAAGGUAUUGUUGAUGAAUUCUUCACGUUGUUGUUUCUAUUAUUUUUAUGAUGAUUAAUAAAUUAUCAAGAUCCUUCACCAGUUUCGCCACUGCGACAGGCAUUGUUGACGAAUUAUUCUGUUACUUUCUAUUAUUUUUAUGAAGAAUCAUUACGUAUGAAGAGUCUUCACCACUUUUGGUAGUGAGACACAGGCAUCGUUGAUGAUUUCUUCACGCUCUUACUUUUUCAUUAGUUUUAUGAUGAAUAAUUACGGAUGAUGAUAAGACAGAGGUGAAAAGUUGAUUUUCUUUUUAAGAAGCAAUUUUUAGGUUUUUUUAAUUUAAGAUUGGAAGUAACUAAGAAAAGAAAAUAAGGUAUGUAAACCUACGUUCUUGAAUGUGUUUUCUUUUUGAAAUGCUUAUAAUGUUAAAUUUUUGAACAGUUUUCUAUUAUUUUUUUACAACGAAUGAAGAAAAAAAAGAAAAAGAAAAUACGGUGUAUAUAUAUAUGUUUUGUUUACAGUGAUAUGAUUGAGGGGAAAUGUCGAUUUCCAUUGAAUUCAUACUUGAAAAUAGAAAUCACUGUCUGAGACUUUGGACGAAAAAAGAAAAUAAUGCCAAGGACACUGUUAACAGUUCAAACUUUAUUUUCCCUUACUAUGGUCUUAAAUUGUUUUUUAUCAUUUUGAUUUUUAAUCUCUAAAAUUAUAUGAAAAUGUUAUAUUUUGGAUGCAUGGAAAAUAUUGAACUAAAAUGAUACCAUAUAAACAUUGUAAAUGAGAUACUAUUUUGUGGGUUCAUCAAAUCCCUCAAUGGAUGUGUAAGAAUCAACUUCCAAUGUGGCCACGUGUUGGAAAAAUCUAGUUUAAUAAAACAGUUUUCUGUCACGGUGAAAAAUUAAAAUUUUCAAAAUUGAGUUAGUUUGUAAUAUCUAUAGCAAUAAUUUUUUUUCUAAAAAUACGUGUAUUUUGCGCAAGACAGAUCCUAGACGUUCUCAGCAUUCAAUCGAAUAGCCUUCUCUGCUAUCCUUGUACUACGAAAUACUUCGAAUGUGGGCUCGAACAAUCAUGAACCAAGCACAAAAUCAAAAAUAAUUUAUUACUUUUAGUAGGAAGGUAAUUCUCUUUACAAUAAAAACCGGCAAAAUUGUUAUUCCCAUAAAGAUAUAAUUUAUUAUUAGAAAAUAAAUAUUCACAACUUUAUGAUAGAUUAACAAUAUUGAAAAUUUAUGUGAAAGUUUUAUGAAUAGAUCUACCAGUGUCAUCUAUUUAUAAGGAAAUAUAAAAAAAAUCCUAGUAGAAUUAGUAAAACACAAAUAAUAUUUAUUUAAUAGAAAAUUUAGUCUUGUAGUUUAACUAGAAGAGGGGGAGGGGGCACUCCCUAUUUAAGUACACUAGGAAUACUGCCUUCAUAUGUAAUAUGAGAGAGAUUUGGGCAUUUACUAUAUUGAGUUAAAUUAUUUGUGCUUUCUGGAUUUUAACCUAGCACUUUAUAAUUUAAUUCAACUCAAUACAUAUUUUUCAAUUUCUCAAAAUAAAUAUUGUUUAUUUAUUUAAUUUAAUUAGAUAAAUUAAUUUUCUAAUUAAAUAUUUUUUAAUCUCAUUCUAAUUGCGUUAAAGUAACAGAAACUUAACUUUAUUGUAAAAUAAUUUAUGUGGAAAUAUAUUUAAUUUCUAUUUUCAACGGAUUCACAAUGGUUACUUAAAUUAAUUCCAUUUUUGAACUUCAAUUCUUUAAUUAAAUAAUAAUUCAAAAACCUUAAAUUAAUUUUCAAGUCAUUUCUACACUCAUUGUAAAAAGACACAUUCAUUUGUGAAUGUGACCCAUUUAUCUAAUUUUAUCAUUUCUAUUCAUUUCUUUUCAUUUGGUUUUAUAUGCACCUCAUUUUUUUGUUUCAACGAGUUAACAAAGGUACCAAUUGGACAUAUGCAAUUAGGGUUCAAAUAAUUUGUAAUUAAGUUCCAGCUUCUUAUCUAUUAAUUAUAAAUUUAUUUAGUCACGAAGUUAUUCCAUUAUAGUAUUGUGAUUGAGCUCUCCCUUAUUACAUACCAUUACGAAAACUACUUAAUCAGUCCUCGUCCAAUGAUAUAGUCAUAAGUGUGUUACCCUCAUAGGAUAUCAUUAAUCUCUUUGAGAUAAAUUUAUUCUCCCAAUAUGAUCUUAUUUUAUGUCAUGGUAAUCAUUACAUCUUUCUUCAUGAAAAGUCAAUUACUAUUAAAUAGUAAUCAUGUCGUUUAUCACAAAGAAAAACGAAGUGUAGUCACAUUUACUUUUAAUCUAUUAUGUAAUGCCAUUUAAAGGAUACCAUUUACUCAUUUUUUGAGCUUUGAAUUCCACUAUUUUGAAUAAUGCUAUAUAAUGUACAAGUCGUAUACCCAACACACCAACUUUCAGUUCCUUAUCUAUUUGGACUCAAGCUUUUACUUACAUCAAAGUAUAAAAGACACGCAUACAUAGUCCUUCAUCCACUCAGGAUUAAGGUAUGCCACACUACGAACAUCACAAGUGAGUGAAUCCAUAAACGGAUAUAAAAUGUAUUCUACUUGGGUCUUGUCCGAUGUGUUGUCAAUCCAGUUAGUCACAUCUAUAUCUCUAUCUUUUGGGAGUCAUCUGCUUUGAAGCUCAAAACAAAACUUGUCCCCCAUUACACUUGAUAGACAACAUAUUAGUCUUUCAAUCGGUUUGCUAAUUUCCAAUUAGACUAAGGACAUGUUUAGGUUCAUCUAUUAAUAAAAAUUAUUUUUCCAUAUUACAAUCCGACUACGUAAUAUCACUUUUAAAAAUAGCAUAACAUAACUUAAUGAAUAUAACAAUUACCAUUUGAUCAUGACUGAAAUUUUAAACUUAAAAAAAAAUUAAGAUUGAAAAUUUAUCAAAAUAAAAUAUAAAAAUUAAAUAUACAACUUACAAAAGAUACAAAAAUUAUUAAUAAAAUUUAACUAUUUAAAUUAUAAAUAGAAUUUAAUCAAGUCUUACUUUUGAAAACUUUUAGAGUUAUUGAUUUCACUUUAAUUUGUUUAUUUAUUUUAUUUUUACUUUUAGAAUGAAAUAAUAGUUGAAAGAAGACAGAAUGAUGUCAAAAGGAUUUUUAAAUUCGAAAGAUAAGCAAGAAAAAGUGAUUAUUUUAUUUAAAAGAAACAUGGUGUUUACUUAUAAUUUAUCGCUUCAAUUCUUCAAUACCUUUGCUAUCUAAGAUACCAUUAUUACUUUUUCUUUUUUUUUUUUCAUUUUGGUAAUAAAUUUUUUAUCAUAAAUAGUACAUAAGUUAUUUUUUUCUACGUUCACAUUUUGUUAAUCAAAUAGUCAAACAAACCAUUAAAUCUAUUUAAAAACAAUUUUAACCCUUAAAUUGGUACCAAAACUCUGUCAUUUUUCUAAUUUUGAUACUUAAAUAAAAAAAUUUUAUCACAAAUGCUACUUAAAUCAUUUUUUCCCCAAGUUGAUACCUAUGUUAUUAAGCUAACUGUUUAGUUUAUAGAUAGAGUUUCAUUAAGUCUUAUGUUUUAGAAUAUUUUAUUUAAAAUAUCUUAAUUAGUGGAAGAUAAAGUCUUAUGUUGAUAGCAUUGCCAAACAUUAUAAAGGAAUAAGAAAUAAAUAUAAAAAAUAAAUAAAAGAGAGAGAAAACAUGUAAAAAAAGAAUUAAAAUUUAUUUUUUAAAGUUUAUAUGAUGUAGCAUUCUAUAAUUGGUUGGAAUUUUUUUAAAGGAUAAAACAAUUUGGUGUAAAAUGGGUAACAAAAGAAUAGUUUAUAUACCGGUUGUGGUUAAAAAAAGUUUAGAUACCAACUUGGAAAAAGAGAGUAUUGUUUAGGUAGUAAUUUGUGGGUUAAGUUGUUUUUUAAAUAAACAAAGAUUUACCAUGAUUGCAAUUUUAGAGAGACGCGAAAGCGAAAGCCUAUGGGGUUGCUUCUGUAACUGGAUAACCAGCACUAAAAAUCGUCUUUACAUCAGAUGGUUUGGUUUUUGAUGAUCCCUUUUUGACUGCUACUUUUGUAUUUAUUAUCGCCUUCAUUGCUGCUACUCCAGUGUUUCUAGAUCUCUACUUUAUGGAAACAAUAUUAUUUUUGGUGCCAUUAUUCCUACUUCUACAGCUAUAAGUUUGCACUUUUACCUUAUUUGGGAAGCGUCAUCCUUAUGAGUUAAUUGUUUUACACUUCUUACUUGGUGUAGCUUGUUACAUGGGCCGUGAGUGGGAACCUAGUUUUCGUUUGGGUAUGCGGCCUUGGAUCGCUGUUGCAUAUUCAGCUCCUGUUGUAGCUACUACCACCGUUUUCUUGAUCUAACAUGUGAAACGGAUACAUAGAUUGCUUAGAGGUCCAAGGUUUAAACCACACCUCUCUCAUUUUUCCAUUUUAAAUUUUUAGCAACCCAGGAUAAAAGCCACACUAAAAUAAAUAUUAUUUAGAGUGAAAUUUAUUAAGAAAUGGGUAGCAAUCCAAUGGUUAAACACUUACUCCUCUCCCAUGCAGCCUCUUCAUAUUUGAAAACUCUAGUUAUUUAUUCCCUUUUUCCCUAAUUACACUAGGAUUAUGUUUCUUUUUUCGUUCCAAUUAGAAUUUCUCUUCUCUCUCCCUAUUUCUUCUCAUAUUUCUUUUCCAUCAACUUCUUUGCAUCAAAUUUUCUCUCCAUUGCUGAAACUAUUUUUGCUCUCGAUAUCAAAUCAAUCCUCAACAAUUCGAUUCUCUACCAUUUGUUGAAUUUAUCUUUGAUAGCUUCCGUAAUUCCAUCAAGUACGGUAAGUGCCUCUCGAUCUAAAGUUUAGGACCCCAAAUUUCAUAAUUUUUUUAUCCGAUAUUGAUCUUACAAAUCAAUUAGUCAAUCUUUCACGGUUCUUGAAAAACCUAUCGUUAAUAUACAAAUGUUAACUAUUGUAUAAUUGUCGUUUGAAGGACCCAAUUUAGGGAUCUCGAAUCAGAUUUGAACAUGAGGGACAUCGCUCAAGAUCUCGAUGAAUCGGGAAAAAAUCGUGCCAAUGAUAACACCAUAGAGUCUUCCACACAAGUGUGUGGGUUACACAGCCCCUCACACGACCAUGUCCCCUUAAAACCCAAGGAUCUUCGAUUCUCACAUGGCCUAGGACCCUUCAUAUGACUGUGUCUCCCUUACACCCUGAUUUUGCCUGAUCCAUACUGCCACAGCCUGUCACACGAUAAUGUAACCCCUUCAUGUGACUGAAGGCAUUGCAUACGGCCAUGUGCCCCUAUUUAAAUUAUUACCUAAAAUUUUAUGAUUUGUUCAGUUUAGUCCCUGAAUGGUUUUUAAACUAUUUUUUAAUGUUUUAUUUUUAUUCAAUUAAGUCCUUGAUAAUAUGGAAAAUGCUAGAAUCCAUGACAUAAUUGACUAAAUUAAUGUUAUAUAUAAUUGCUUGUAUUGUGAAUGAUAUAUAUGUUUAUUAUAUAAACAGAGCCAAGUUGUGCUCUAUCUAUAAGUAUAAACAUAUAAUCAAAAUAAAUUUCACUUCUUCUUGAAUGAUUUGAUUACAUAGAGAGUAAUAUUCUUUAGAUCUUAUGCAUGUUUUGAGUUAUAUAUAAGAAUGGAUGCAAUAUUAUAUAUUUGUUAUAAAUUGUUUUAUAUUGUCAAGGUUGUGGUUAGGAAAUAGACCGCGGACAAUCAUCUCAAUGUAAGGCUAUUUUUUUUAAAAUUCAUAGAAUUCUUGUGAAUGAAAACGGACAGAAGACUUAAAUCACUACAAGAAAUAAAGCUUUUAGAGGCAUUUUUAGUGGCGUUUGGACCAAAAAUGCCGUAAAAGUUAUGCAUUAGUGGCGCUAAUUGAAAAACACCACAAAAGGUCAAGCAGUAGCGGCAUUUUUUAUAAAAAAUGCCGCAAAAAAUCAUUUUAUUUUAAACAAAACGGCGCCAUUUUGCUCCCUGUAUUCUCACCCAUCAUCCAAGUGGCCAUCAUGUAUUGAUCUUUUCGACAACUCAUGCACUGUUUUAUCCUCUUCUAUUUAUUAUUUAACUAGUUUCUUUAUAUUAAUUGAAAUACAAUUUAUUUUUAAUUUAAUAUUAAAAAUCUUCAGAAAAAUUAAUGACACGUAAAAAACAUUAGAAAGUAAAAACAUAGAAAAAUAUAUGUUAAAAAUGAAAAAAAUGAAAAUACUAUUAUUUAAAAUACUAUUAUUUAAAAUAAUUUUAUCUGCUGUAACAAACUGACUUCUAACUAGAAGAGAUUUUGAUUGGGGAUUCUAGUUUACAGAGAGGCUUGACUCCUUUUGUAGAUGAUGGCCUAAUUGAGAUAGUUGGAUUUAGAAAUGUCCUGCAUGGUCUUGUUUUGCUUGCUCCAAAUGGACAUGAGACUCAUUUAGCACCGGUAGAAUAAGAAGGUUCAUGACUGGUUUGCACUUUUUGACCUUAGGGAUUUUGAAAUUUUGGAGAUUAGACUGUAUUUGGGAAUUUGAAGAUAUAGCGGAAAUUGUAGCUCCUAACCAUAUAGGUUCAUUAAUUAUGAGGUUAGAUCCUUCAUUAUUGGUAUAUAAAUUGUCGAAACCAUUUUUUUGAUAAAAGCGUCGACUUUUUAAAUUAUGAUAAAACAGGAGUCGCCACCGAUCUUUUAUUGAAGUAUGAUCGGAUCACCUUGAAAAUUUUUUUGGUCUACGAGUUUCAAAAAAAAAAAGGGGUUCGGGAGUCAGUUAUGUGUGAGGAAGGAUUAGCACCCCCGUAACGCCCAAGAUUGGCACCGAAUCGAUUUAUUAAUAUCUCAAUGUCAAAAUUUUGAAAGGAUUUUUAAAAUACGAUUCCCCUUAAAAAAACUUGAAUAAAUUGAAUUAAAUGCUAAGACCCUUUGUUUUGAAGAAGUCAAAUGUAAUACCCAGUGAGUUAGGAUACAACAUUUCUAAUUCUCGAAAUUAAACUUGCCUUCUGACUUUAAAAACUCAUGAUUUUAGGUUUGAGAAGGAUACUCGGAUAUUUAGGUGAAAUGAAAAAUCGGAACCUAGUGAGUUAGGGUUCAAUUUCUCAAAAUUCUCAAAUACAGAAUAUUGCCUGCUUUUUUUGAAAUCCUUACCUCGAGGUAACAAAAUGUCACAUCCCGUGAGUUAGGAUACAACCCUUUUGGAAUUCCCGAGAUAAAUUUUGGUUUUUGAAAUUGGUACGAUUUUAUUGAAAAAGGGAUACUCGGCUAUUUAAAUUCAACAAAAAAAUUGAAGCCCAGUAAGUUAGGGCACAAUCUCCUCGAGAAUCUUGGACCCCGAGUAUCUUGAAAAUUUUGGAAUAAAACUACUUUAAUGUUUUAAUGAAGCGUAAUCUUCAAAACAAAUGUAGUGCGAUUAAUGGUAACGCAUAAUACGAAAGGAUAAUUUGUAAAUAAAACAUAGACCAAGGAAUGAUGAAUAAAUAAUAAAAAAAUUCAACAAGCUUAGCAAUGAUUAUCUCAUGCGAACACCAACAUUAGCUAAUAGGAGGAAACUAAUUUAAAAUUGAGCAAAUUUACAUAAACACCAAUAAAGUGUACAAGUUUAAACACCAUUUAAGAAAAAAAAUGACAUGAAAGAAGGUAAAUUGAAAUUAAUAAAUUAUAUUUAAAUGAAUAACAUGUAGAAAAAUUCGAAAUAAAUUUUACAUGAAAUUGUAAUAUGCAAAUGAAUUCUAAAGUAAAUAUGGUAUAUAAGUAGAAAAUUAAAAUUUAUAAUAUAUAAAACAAUUAAUACACAUAUUAAUUUAAAUAAAUAAUGCAUAUUAAAUGAAGAGUUUGAUAAUAAUAAAAACAAUAAUAUAUGUACAUAAUAAAAAUACAAUAUGGUUGAAAUAUACAAAAUAAGUAAAGGAGGUUUAAAAAUAAAUAAAUUAUAAAUGUAAAAGCCAAAAGAUGAUAAUUAUAAUAAGGGUAAACUACUAAAAUAGUCACUUUUGUUUGGUUCAGGUUACGUUUUAGUCACUUAUGUUAUCAUGUUGUAGCAUUUUUGUCACUGAGCCGUUAAUUUCUAUUAACUCUGUAACAAUAAGCUAAUGUGGCACAUUAAAUCAUCAUUUCAAACAAAAAUUCUAGGUUAAUUUAUACAAUCGGUCCCAUAUUUUUUUCUUUUAUGUUUUUUUAACUUUCUUUCUUUUCCAUUCUCUUAUGCUUCUCCCUUUGUUUUCCUCCUUUCUCCAUUUAAUUUCUUUCAACGUAUUUGUUUUCCUCCUUUCUCCAUUUCUUUCAACGUAGUUUUGCUAUGUUUUAUUUUUUUGACCAAUUUAAUUUUUCCGAGUGAGGCGAGCUUGUGGACUAGUUACAGAUGGAAAACAUAGAAAAACUAUGUUAAAAGAAAUGAAGAAUAGAGGAAAAUAGAGGGAGAAGCAGAAGAGAAUGGAAAAAAAAAGUUAAAAGAACUUAAAAGAAAAUUUUAAAAUUGUUUAAAAUGAAAAAAUAUAGGGACCAAUUGUAGAAUUUAACCUAAAAUUUUUGUUUGAAAUGAUGAUUUAACAUGCCACAUCAGCUUAACAUUACACCAUUGUUGGCAAUUAACGACUCAGUGACUGAAAUGUUACAACACGAUAACGUAAAUGACUAAAACAUAAUAUUUCAAACAUAAGUGACUAAAAUGUAACCUAAGGCAAACAAAAGUGACUAUUUUGGUAGCUUACCCUUAUAAUAACAUGGCUUUGAAAGCUACCCUAAAAUCAUCCAUUCUUUCAUGUAAUGUGUGGUAGUUGACUCUCACCCCCACCUCGGCUCCAAUCUAUAUUCUCGUUGAAAAUUGCAUUUCGAACAGUGGUAGGCUCUUCAACCGCAACUUGCUCAACCAACUGAGUAGCCUUGGAAAACAAUUGAAGAAAAUUUAUAAUUGAAACUUUAAUCUCAUGUCAUCAAGGAAAAAAAUAAGAAACACAUAUAUACUCAAGGAAUUUAAUUAAAAAUUUUGCAUGUUAUGCCUUUAGUUGUAAUUGUUAUAAUUACAUAGAAUAAAGUAGGAUUAAAGGGUUGUAGGAUAUAUACCUUUGUUUUGCAAUGUACAAAUUCCUGUGAAUCAAUGAAGAAACCAGUAGCCAACUUAGGGCAAUCUCUUACUUCCAACUCUAUCAUUGCUGGGAAUACAAAAUGAUAUCCUUUGGGACAAAAGUGAAUGAGGCCAGGUAGUUUUUCAAGUGAUAACCAUUCUAAUUUAUCAAAUUUCAUCUCCUCUUCAGCUACCACUUCCACUUUUUCUUCUAAUUCGAAUACUUGUUCCAAUUUAGAAUUCCUUGUAACUAUGAGAGUUUCAAGCUUUAGAAGAACAGGAACAAAUCCAAAAGGAAAAAGACUGUUCAAAUUUUUACAGUUUAUAACAAUGAUUCGUUUCAAAUUUGGAAAGCUCAUGGGUUGGAGGCUAGUAUCACCAUUGGAUGAUGAAGAAGAAACUUGAUCCUUGGCUAAAAUGAGUCGUUCUAUUUCCUCACACCACUCGAUGAAAAGAUCCACCAAAUGUGAUAAACUGCGAGCCAUCAUAGGCGAAAAUAUAUAUCUUAGCUUAUUGCAACCACUCAGUGUUAGAGUUGUAAGGUUCUCAAGGGUUACAAUUUGAGCAAAAUCGUUCCAUAUAACCCGCACUUCAAACAAAUUCCUCAAUUCCAAUAAUUUUAUGGUUGAGAACGAGUACCCGCCUUGAACUUGAAAUACUUCUUCUUGAUUCCCAACUACUAUACAACCUUCAUUCAAUACAGGAACAUCAGUGUUGCAUAAUUGGCGGCUAUUUCCCACGUUACUAAGAACCAAAUCCUGCAUACACAGAAAUCCUAAUAAAUGUCAUAAAAACACACUAGAGUAAAUGUUACCCAUAAGUCUUCAUAAUUUUACAUAUUCCAAGUAACAAAAAAUACUACUUCUCUAAUCUCAAUGCUACAUGUAUCUUUGAUUUUUUUAAAGGAUAUAUUUUUUAAAUCUGAACCCCUAAAAUAUCUACCAAAUUAAUUAAACACAAAAGGCCAUUGCUUGAUACAUUUUUAUUUAAAGAGUGAAAAAUGGAAUUCAUUUACAAAUUAUGUAUAAAAGAGGAAUGAAUUAUCACAUGAACUAAGCAACAUAUCGAUUUACUGAUUUGCUAUAGUGCCAAAAUCCAUAUAUAAAAUGCGAACAAUCUAAAUACCUCUAUGAGCUGAGCUUGUAAAAUGAAGCAUGAGAUUUGGGGACAAUUUGACACUUCUAAAUUUUUCAGAAAGGGCACAUUAAGUAGAAUGUGAUCAUCAAUCACAUCCCUUUCUUCUGUCGAACUGAAGACUUGUAGUAGUUGAGGGCAGUUCUUUAGGUAAAUAGAUUCCAACAAUGGAAAUCCCUGAGAUAAAGUGUUUGCAAACAGAUAUUUCAAUAGUUGGCAAUCCUCUAUCCGGAGAGUUUUCAGUUUUGUCCAGCAGUGAUUCUACAUGAAUGAACCACAUAAUUAGAUAUUAUACAAAAUAUAUUUGUUUAAAUAAAAGCGAGAAAUAUGAUUUACCAAAACAUAUGAAAAAGAAAGCAAUUGAUCUUUGAUUUAUCAUAUUUUGGAACUGUGAUACCCCAACCACUUCAAAAUCAUUAAUCAUGACAAUAAAAAAAUAAAAAUACAAUAUUCAUUGUAAUAGUCGAUGAGAGAGAUUGAACUCUGAUGCUCGUUCAACUUUAAAAUCAAAGAAUUAUGAAUACAAUUUUUUUUAGUCCAACAUGAAGUUUUGAAUAAAAAUAUUAAUAUCUAAAAAUGGACUUUGAUAAGUUAUUCUAAUAGUUUUCAGACUAUAGAGGUUAACGCAAUGAUUUGAUCCAUUCCAUAUGCACCUCAAUUCCGAUAAUGAUAUCAAUAUUUAUUAGUUAAAUUUACCAAAAUUCUUGCCAUCAAAUAAUAUUUAUUAGGUAGAACUAACCACUACUCAAAUAAAUUCAUUCUACAAUUAUAUUAAUAUAUAUUUAUACAACACUGUUUUAAUAUCUCACAUAAAUUAUCAAAUUAAAAUAUGGUAGCAUUGCAAAAACAAAUCAUAUUAUGGUAAAUUAAUUUAAUAAUUUUCUAAAAUAUAAUUUAAAUAAUUAUUAUUAUAUUAAAUAAAUAUAUUAAAUCUUAACGUCAAUAGAAAAUAAAUAUAUAAUAAUUCUCUAUUUUAAUUUUUACUAUUUAUAAUUAUACAUGAAUUAUUUUAAAUAUGAAUAUUAUAGUAUAUUAGUAUUUGAUAAUAAAAAUUUAUAAAUUAAUUUGAUAUACUAAUUUUAAAAACAUAUAGUUGUAAUUUAAUUUUUAAAUUAUAACUUUUUAUAUUUUUAAAUAGUUGUUAUAUGGUAUGUGUAUGUUCGAUUUGAUUUAAACUCAAUAAAAAAUUUGAAUUGAACACUACAAUUCAAAUUAAUUUUCAAUUUUUUCAACUCUUUGCUCAGCCUUAAAAAUGUAAAUACAGAAGUACCUGUGAUCCAAGUUCAGGAAGCACAAUAUCUUGUCCAUGCUUAUUUUGUUCCAUGUUGAAGACUUGUAUAAGUUGAGAACAAUGUCUUAUGUAAACAGAUUCCAAGGAUUGAAGCCCUUGAGUCCAAGUGUUUGCACAAACAUAUUUCAAAUUUCGGCAAAAUUCUAUGCGAAGAAUCCUCAAUUUCGGCCAGCAACAAAGAGAAGAGUCAUUCUACAUGUUUCAAACACACAUCUUAGUAAGUUAUUUAUUUUAUUAUUAAUUAAAAUAGAUUAUUAAUUAAAAGAUAAAAUAUAAAAACAUGUAUAUGCUGCUUAGUUUCUUUUAGCAUACCAAUGGUUAGAUGCACAGGGUUUCUACCCAAAAAAGCAACAAGCUAACUCAAAAAAACUAGGGGGUUUUUAGUUGUUUAUAAAACACACAAUCGAAAUAAAUAAAAUUGAAUUUAUUUUUUUAUAAUUAGGAAUGGAGAAUGAAAUUGUUUGAAAUUGAAUUCAAGUAUUCAUGUCUACAAUAUAAUAUUUUUGUUGUUAGACUAAAACAUCAUUAGCAACUUAAAUGCAAAUAUUUAUUUUAAAUUAUAAAAAUAUUAAAGCAUUAUUAUAAAUUAAAUAAAAGAUAGAAUUUCCUUCUAUAUAAAUAAUUACAUUCUUCUAUCAUGUAAAUUGUGUUGAAGUCAAACAAACCUUAUAAGUGGGCAAUCCAUGGGCAAAAGUCAAGGUGGCAUGGAAUUAAUUGAAGGCUUAUCCAUAAAUAAAUAAAAUAAACAUAAAAUGAGAGAGGUGGCAAUUGAUGAGGUGGUUUUUGAGCCUAUAAUAAGGUUUCAUAUAUUUGUGAUAUGAAGAAAAAGAAAGAGUAAGAAAUGAAAGAAAUGAAAGAAAUGUGUGUGAGUUUGUGUGCACAAGAGUGGAAAUAUGCAAAGAGUGAAUUGUGAGUGUAUAACUAGUGGUAACUAGAAAUUGAGAGAGGGGAAAAUAUAUUUGUAUUUUGUGUAAGUGUAUUUGUUUUGAGUAAUAAAAUUUAAUUUCCUUAGUCACUACUUCACUUCCAAUAAGUGGUAUCCAAGUUACAUUGGUGUCCUCAUCACAAGGAGAUGACAAACAUGAUUCAACCAUAGAUAGAAUCACAAACUAAAUCAAAGUCCAUGAUUCAAGGGAUUAUCUUGGACAAUUUCAAAUCAAUUCAAUCUCUAAAAGAUAAUCUCCUAAGUGAUAUGAUCUUCUAUAAUGGUCUAGAUAUCAAUCAUAGACUCAAUCAUACCCCAUAAAAGUCAUUCAAUAAGUUGCCAAUAUAAUAAAUAUGGAAAAGGUUUCCAUAUCGAUUUAGUGCUCUAGGGAAUGAAUACUUCCUUUGACACUAAAAUGUGAGUUUUUUCAACAAUAUUAAAUUGACCUUGUAAGUUAGCAAUCUAAAGGUAGAAUAAAGUGGCAUGGAAUGAAUUAAAUUAAGGCUUUUCUAUAAAUAGAAAAAAUCUAAAUAAAAAUGAGAGACAACAAUUCAUGAUGCAUUUUAUAAGCCUGUAAAUAGGUUUCAUAUAUAUGUGAUAUGUAAAAGCAAGCGUGUGAAAGAGAAGAAAAAGAAAGAGUAUGAAACAAAACAAAGGUGUGUGACUUUGUGUGCGUGAGAAUGGAAAUAAGCAAAGUUUUAAAGAUUUCCUUUAUCAAAACAUAUGAAUAAGAAAUAAAUUGAUCUUCCAACGUAUCAGUUAUAAAGAAAUAUAUUUCGCAACUGUGAUACUCCAACCACUUUAAAAUAAUUAAUUAUGACUAUUAAAAAAUAUAUAUAUUCAUGGUAAUAGCCGAUGAGAGAGAUAGAAUUCUAAUUGCUGAUUAUAAAUAACUUUUAAAAUAAGGUUGAAAUAUUAAUUAUUUUAUGAACAUAAAAAUGAAUUCGAGUCCAAAUACCUGUAAUCCAAAUCCAUCCUUAUUUUUUUCCAUGUUGAAGAUUUGUAUAAGUCGAGGACAAUCUUUUAUAUCAAUAGCUUCCAGGCAGGGAAGUCCUUGACUUGAACACAAAUAUUUCAAGUUUUCACAUCCACUAAUCCUGACAUCUUUCAAUUUUGGCAAGAACAGAGAAGACUGAUCUUUUAUAUUUGACAAAUGUUCUAAAGAGUUGCAAUUCCAAAUCACGAGAUAUUGCAAAUGCACCAAAGGUCCAUUCCACAUGUACUUCAAUUUUGGCAAUGAUCUUAACUCCAAAGAAGUUAAAUUUGUCAGAUAUUCCUGUCAUCCAAUAAUAUUUGUUAGUUUAAUCUAACCACUAAAAUAAAUUGAUUGUACAAUGAUAUACACACUAAUUUUAAUAUCUCACAUAUAUUAUCAAAGCAAAACAAAAAUCAUAAUAAGGUAAAUUAAUUCAAUAAAUUUCUAAAAUAUAAUUAUUAUAUUACAUUAAAACAAAAUAUAAAAAAAACAUAUUAAAGCGUAACAUCAUGAGAAAAUAAAUAUAUACUAUUUCUCUAUUUUAAUUUUUAGUAUACAAAUAAUAAAGAGCGUGUACGUGGCUCUUGAACAAAAGCUACAGGCUGCAUCGGUUUGUUUGAAUACUUAGAAUUUCAAAAAUCAAUAAAUUACAAUUAUAAAAAGUAAUAAUAUGUAAACAUAUAUUCAUUAAAAAUAAAUGAAAGCAUAAAUACUCUAUGAAUUUUAAAAUAUUUAUCAUUAAAAGUACCUGUGAUCCACGUUCAGGAAGCACAAUGUUUUGUUCCAUGUUGUAGAUUUGUAUAAGUUGAUGACAUUUCACUAUGAAGACAGAUUCCAAGGAUUGAAUCAAAGUGUUUGUAGAAAUAUAUUUCAAACUUUCACAAUCUUUUAUGCGAAGAACUCUCAAUUUCGGCCAGCAAUAAAGAAGACAAUCAUUCUGCAUGUUUCAAACACGUUUUAGUAAGUUAUUUAUUUUAAAUUUCAUAUAGAAUCACAACUCAAAUCAAAGUGAUCCAAAAUAUUGUCUUGGGCAAUUUUGAAUCAAUCAAAUCUUUAAAAGAUAAUAUUUCAAAUGACAUGAUCUUCUAUAAUGGGCUAAAAAUCAACCAUAGACUCAGUCAUAGCCCAUAAAAGUCAUUCAAUGAGUUGUCAAUAUAAUAAAUAUGGAGAUUAUCUCUAUAUUGAUUUGGUGCUCUAGGGAGUAGGCACUCGCUCUAACACCAAAAUGCUAGUUUCAUAUUUUUCAAUAAUAUCAAACCGGCCUUGUAAGUUAGCAAUCCAAGGAUAGAAGAAAGGUGGCAUGGAAUUAAUUGAAGGCUUUUCUAUAAAGAAAUAAAAUCUAAAUAAAAAGGAGAGACACAACAAUUUAUGAUGCAGUUUAUAAGCCUAUAAAUAGAUUUAAUAUAUUUGUGAUAUGUAUAAGCGAGCUUGUGGAUAGAAGAAAAAGGAAGCGUUUGAAACAAAACAAAGGUGUGUGACUUUGUGUGCAUGAAAGUGGAAAUAAGCAAAGAGUGAAUUGUGUGUAUAACUAGUUGUAGGUAGUAAUUGAAAGGAAGAAGAAAAUAUAUUUGUAUUUUGCAUUGGUGUAUUUGUUUUGAGUAAUAAAAGUUACUUUUAAUUUCUUUAGUGGCCACUACGCUUCCAACAAACCCGAUACACAUAAAUAACAUAAAAAUAAAUACCAAACCAAGCACUUCACUUCAAAUUGGUUUUUGGUUUUCUUGCAAUUUGUUUCAUCCUUAAAAGAAUACUAUCAUAAAGCUAAAACAAUUAAGAAGAUUAAAAAAAUUGGAGAGAAUAGGUAUCCCUACCUCAAUAAUCUCGUCUUCUUGGCCAAAACCAAUGACUUGCUCUAGUCGAUCGCAGUAGCUUAUAUAAAGUUGUUGUAGAUGCAACAUACUUAAAGCUAGGCAAGGUGAGAAGAUUGUUUUCAGAUUAUCACAAGAUUCAAUGCUCACAACCUUUAGACUUUGGAGGCUUGCAAUUGCACGAUGGGAUGGCUUUACUUCCCAUAUCCUCUUCAAUUUCGGCAAUGAAUGUAGCCUCAAUAUUGUUAAAUUUGAGAGCAAUGGUGUCUGACAUUUCAUUUUUUCAGAAAGUUUAUCUAUUUGAAAUAUCACUUGUAACUCCUCACAAUCUUUAAUGAUCACUUCCUUAAGGUUUUGCAAGAACCUAGUCGGAGAAACACCAUAGCACAACCCUUUCAAAGAAGCCAUGCUUUCGAUAAUUAAUUCCACCAAAUUAGAGAAUGCAACAGUUGACCCUUGAUCCUUUUUUGUAUCAAUCAAGAAUUCCAUAUCAUUGCAAGAUUUGAGCUGCAGAGAAGUCAACUCAUUUACUCCCAUUUCAUCCAUGCUUGGCACAAUAUUCUUUUGUCCACCAACAUUCCUCAAACUCAACGCUUCCACAUUGCAAAAUAAAUUGUUAAAUGCACUUAAUGAAGAUGAGAAAUCUUGAAUAGCCAAUCUUCUAAACGCCUCCUGAUCGCUACUAUAAUAUUCUCCAACUAUAUCGUACCUUUGUAGUUUAGGGAACAUAAAAUCUUCUAGAGGAAUUUGAUUAGCAGAAAGUCUCAGUGAUAGUGCAGUUAAACGAGACAAUGACUUCAACUCCAAUAAGUUGAGAUUAUUUUUGGGUAUGACAUGUAACUCUUGUAGUGAAGUCAACCUAUUAUAUUCAUAAACAAAGUAGCAUUAAUUGAAAAUUUAUGUGACACAAUCCACAUUCCAUGAGGUUAAAAAAAAAAAUUGUAAUUCCUUAAAGUAAGUCAUAAAAAAGAAAUAUGUAAAAAAAAGUCAAAAACUUGAAAUAAAUCAAGAUAAGUAAUAAAAGGACACUAUUAAAAUUAAAUUAAAAAAUCUCUAAAUUUUUUUUAUCACUUUCAAAGAAAUUUUCAAGAGGUUAAUUUUUUUUUUCUUUUUAACAAUUUAUCUCAAAAUUUCUGGGUCUAAAACAUAAGUAAAUUUUCUGUUUUUUUUUAUAAUAACUUUUUUCACUCUCAAAUUUUAUAAGAAAGUCAUUUUACCCUUAUAUUUAAAAGUCAUUUUACCCUUCUAUUUAAAUUUUAACCUUUUAUAACCCUUAAAUUUGUGAUUUUUUUGUCAAAUCAUCUCAAAAUGAAUAGAAAAGUUGAUGUUUUAAAAUUUUACUGAUGUUGAUAUACGUGGAUUGACACAUGAAUAACACAUUAUUCAUAAUAUAUAUAUAUAUAUAUAUACAUAUCUAAUAGUAAAAAAAAUUGAGUAUUUAUCUUGAUUUUUUAUUAAAAUUUAAAGUCUUUAUUUUAUUAAACUUCCUUAAUUAAUUUUUAUUUAAUAUUAUAUAUAUUUUUAUAUUUACUUUAAUAUAUAUAUAUUUAUAUAUAUAUAUGUAUAUACAUAUAUAACACUUAAUUAUAGCUAAUAAAAUUUGUUAUUUUCCUUGGCAACCCACAUAUCUAUCCACAUAUACUUCAAACAUUACAUUAUUUGUCUUAUAUGAAUAAUUUUAAAUUUAUAAAAAUAUUCAAAAAAUAAAAAAAUUGAAAUUCAAAAAAAUAAAAAAAUCAUAAAAUUAAAAAAAUAUAGCAUGAAGUAUGGAUUGGAAUGUGGGUGUUCAUGUUUAAAAACUUAACAUUUUAGUUAGUAUUUCCGUUAAAAAAUAAUUCAGCAUUUUUUAAAAGGUUGAUGCUCCUUUUUAAAUGUCCAUAAUCAAAUUUAAUUAAAAACCGAAUAAGGACUAAAUUGAUAAAUGAUGUUAAAAUUAGUAUUGUAAAAUUAAAAAUACCAAUUAAAGUAAUUAAGAGGAAAAUAAAUUAUGUCAAACAAAAUACCAAUAUGAUAAAAAGAAAAUUAAAUCUGAUGCACUCUUACCUUGAUACCAAGUUUGGGGGGAUAUUCAUUUCUCUUUCAACUCCAACACCAGAAAGACGUAAAUAUUUCAGUGCAGACAACUUCACUAAUUCUUCACUUAUCUCAUCAAUUUCAGUGGCAAUCAAUGCAAGAAUCUCAAGGCUUCUCAUAUUUGUCAGAGAUGAUGAGAAGUUUUUCAGCAUGCAAUCAUAACACCUCAAAGUUUUAAGAUUUGGUAAGGAAGGGAAUCCUUUCAGUGAGAAGCUGACACGUUUGAGAAGUAAAACUUGGAGGGCUUUCAUUUCUUCAAAAAAUGUACCCAAAACCACUAAGAAAUCAUCUCGGUUCCUCUUCCUCUCGCCCUCUAAAAACAAAGUUUUGAGCUUUGAAAAUUCCACUUUAUCAGGAAAAAUAUUUAUGAUACUACUACAAUUCCAUAAAGCGAUUGCAGUAUAACUUUCAUCCAUAUGAGGCCAUUCUUUCAACGUAUCUUUUACCAUGAACCUAUUUUCUCCCGUUGAUGUUAGCCAAUGAGCAAAAUCUCGAAUCACAUCAUGGAUUCUAAUCGUAUCUGCACCAUCAGUUUCCAAUAACAAGCCAGAUUUUUGGAGUUUUUUAGUGCUUCAACAAUUUUCUUCCUUUUAUCUUCAAUCGAGUAAAAAUUAGGGAACAAUCCUACUCCAAUUCCGCACAUAAUCAAUAUCUCAGUAUCGAUUUCUUCAUCUUCAGGAAAAAGGGAACACAGUAAGAAACAAAUUUGGAUGUCAUUUAUUCCCGUCAUUUGGUUAAUGCCUUUCUUCAAGUAAUCGUAGCUAAGCUUAAGAGGCUCGAGGACACCCCCGAGGACUUCUUCAUCAUACAAAUGCGUUGAGUCCUUGAAUCUCUGAUUUGCGUCUCUCCACCCAUUUAAACUCUCACCUUUUAAAGCUUUGGCCACGACAACAAUUGCAAGAGGCAAUCCCUUACAUUCAGCAGCAACCUCUUUGGCUACAUCAUUCAACGUGGAACAAUCAUCUUCUAAACCAGCUUUAUCUCGAAAUAAAACCCAUGCUUCGUCUUUGGAUAAGAUGCCAAGUUGAAUUUCCUUCUGACACUUCAUUUUACUGCAGACUUGUUGUUGACGUGUAGUCAGAAGAAUUUUGCAACCCUUGUGGUCAUCACCGAAUGGAAUUCCGAUAUCCUCUAAUUUGAAUUCUUCCCAGAGGUCGUCGACAAUUACAAGGAUUUUUUUCACGCGUUGCAUACUCCUGAAUAGCUCUUCUGCUUUUCCUUCUUGGCUACUUGUUUCAAAUUUUAAACCAAAAAUAUCUGCAACUUUAUCUUGAAUUUUGUUGAUGUCUGCAUUUUGGGACAUAGUAAACAUCACAACUUUAUCAAAGAACUUUUGUUCUCGAGCAUGCUUCCCAACUUCUUUGGCUAAAGUUGUUUUACCAACUCCUGGCAUUCCUUGCAGUCCGAUCAUGUUGACACCCUUAGCAUUUAUAGCCUCCAUGAUCUGGUUGAAAGCUGAUUUUGAAGAUUUAGAGUGCAUGAAAUCAGUGGAUCUGAUGAAUUCUAUUCCUUGAAGAGGACGACGAUAGCCCACCUGUGCAAAGUUAGAAGUCUCUAAAAGUUUAGAGAUAAUAGGAAUCUUCUCUGCCAGUUUCUUACUUAAGGAAUAUCGCCAGCCCCAUUUAGGACACCAUUUGAAACACUUGACGCGAUCUAUUUCAUCUUUCAAGUUCUGGGUUUCUUUCAGUUCUUUCUCAGCGCUUGUAAGCCAGUUGUCAACGUCCUUAUGGAUGAGCUCAUUUUGCCUUUCAGCCUCAUCGACACGAAUUUUCACCCUCUCUUUCUUCAAUUCAAGUGCUUCUCGUUGAUUCUUGAAAUCUUCAACAAUCUCUCCAUAACGGAAAAAGUAACGGAGAUAGGGUGAUGCGUAUUCCUUUGCCUGGUCUGCCACAAUUUCGACAGCAGCAGGGGCAGCAUAUUCGGCCAUUUUUGUUGAUAGUCUGAUGAGGUUGAACAAAAACAUUGGUUAUUAGUAAGAAUUAACAUAAAGAGAAAUAAAAGCAAUUGUGACAAAUAAAAUCAGUAUUUGUAGUAAAAAAUCGAGUGGAAGCUACCAAAUAAGAAGCUGUAAAUAUUGAUGUAAAGCAAAGAUGUUAUUAUUGAAGAAGGUAGAAAAUACCUCUGUUUCUGUCUGAGAAUACCAGAAAGUAAAUAGAGCUUGAGAGAAAUAAGUAGCUGUAAAAGAUGAAAAGAAUUGAUUUAGUGCAGGUAAUAGAAAAAUAAUAAUAAAAAAAUUGAGAGCAUGUUUUAACCUUACAUGCACACUCAAUCGUAAUUACUCUUCCCAUUUUAUUCAUUCUAAAUCGGAGCUAUAAUUUGUAUGUGAAAUCCUAAAAACAAUUUCUCAUAAAGAAAUCCUAAAAAGAAUUACAUUCUCUUAAACAUAUUUUAUAUUUAUUUCUACAUUUUGGAUUAUAGAUUGGAUGCUUUUAAGUUCCUAUAGAAUUAGAGUUUGUGUGCUCUCUAAAAUGUUUAAUGGAAAAAACGACACAAGACUAAUGAAUGGAGAAAGGACACUCUUCAUUUGCCCCUUUCCUGUUUGAUCAGCAUGUUAUACACUUCAACUCUGAGUAAAAUCCGAUUCGAUUCGAAAAUUUUGAUUUAACUAGUUCGAGUUAUUUGUGUUAAUUAAUUUUUUGGAUAAACUCGAAUUGACUUGAAUAUGAAUUACCCAAUUCGAGUUAUUCGAAAAUCCGAAUUAGAAAAUGUAAAACUAUAUCGUUUUGAUAAAUGUGUACCUUUCUAAAGUUAAAUUCAAAACCAUUAAGUUAUAAGGCAAAAUUACGUCAUUUUGAUAAAUAUUUACUCAUUAAGUUAAGAGGUAAAACCAUUAUAUUAUUUAUGUAGUUAAAUAAUAUUGUAAUUCGUCUGUUAGUUAAACAAUCGGUCCAUGUAAAUGCAACAUUGAAUAUAAAUAAUAGGAUUGGUUAAUUCGACUCAACUUGACUCGAAAGUUUUUACUCGAUUUGAUUUGGUUAAAAAAAAUCAAAUUGAGUUUAGUUGCUAAGAUAAAUUCAUCAACUCGACUAACUCAAAAUUUUUCGAUUCGACUCAACUUAAUCAAAUACUCACCCUAAAUCCAAGGUUCUUGUUCUAGUUUGUUCAAUCUUUAAAAUGAAUAUAUAAUCUCUUUAAUUAAGACGGAACUUGUAUGAAACCUUUCUUUAUGAAAAAUAAAAUCACAAGUGAUUUAAAAUGAAAGGGAGAUCCACUCAACAAAAACAUGAAAAUAUAUAGCAAUGAGGAGCAGUUCCUCAAAACUUACCUUCACUCAACUAUCCUCUGCGCUGUUUCUUUUGCCAAGUCGAAAUCAAGGUAUGAAGAAAGUUUGGUUUUCAGAAAUAAAAGACAGUUUGCAGGAUUUUUUUUUUUGUUUUUUUUCCCUUAAUUGAGACAAUACAAGAAAAUGUGAAAACUGAAAAACAAAUAGUGGAAAUUAUCACACACACAGAUUUUUUUUUUUUUUUUGGUGAUGAUCACAGACACAGAUUUCAGAAUAUGGAAGCAAAAAAGGAAAUGAUGAGAAACACAGGUUAAUUUGAGAAUUAGAAAGCCAAAAACAAAGAGUGGAAAUGAUCAAACUUGGAAGCAAAGACCACUUUGGAUGAGGAAGAAGAAUGGGAAGUCGUUGGUUUAACUUUCAAAUGUUUUUCUACUUUUUUUAUUUAAAUUCAUAAAACAAAGUAUUGUUCAUCAUUCUUUUCUUUAUUAUAAUAAAAUAAUCAUUAUUUUUAUUACCAUUAAAGUCAAUGUCUUUGUUAAUGUAAAAUUCCAUUUUUUAUAUUUUUAUAUUUUAGUAAAAAUAUUAUUUAUUUUUAUUUAUUUUAAUUAUUAACUUAUAUUUUUUCUAUUCGAUUCUACUCGAUAAUCGAUCUAAGACUAAGAAAUUAAAAUUUUUGUUCUCGAAAAGCCAACAAUGGUGGUUAAGGCAUGUGAUUAGAGCAGAACAAAUAAUUCCCUCAAAUAAUUGAAGAAAAGGAUGACGGAUGAUUGAUUACUAAGAGUCGUCACCACUUUUGCUAGUGGGAUAGGUCUUGUCAAUGAAUUAUUGCCUUUGUAAUUAUCAAGUUUGCUCACCACUUUCGCUAGUGGGACAGGCAUUGUUGACGAAUUACUUUUUACUAUUUUUACCUUACCUGCUUCCUUUGCUUACUUAUUAUCGUGUAUAAAUAGAAUAUAUAAGUAUUAGCAUUAAAUGAUUUAUUAUAUGAAUUAGGAAAAGAAAAAAAACUUCUCUUCUACAGAUAUAGAUAAAAAUACAAAAAAAGAAAAAGAAAAUACAGAUAUAGAUAAGAAUUUUAUUUUUUUAACACGGUUAACCAUUAGACAAGGUGAUACAUUAAAUAGGAUAACUUGACUUAAAAAAUUUAAUAAAUACUAUUUAAUCAUGAUUGAAAUUUUAAAAUUUAAAAAAUUAAGGACAAAAUUUAAUUAAAUUAAAAUAUAAAAAUUAAAUAUACAAGUUGCACAUAAUACAAAAAUGGAUAAUAAAAUUUAAUUGUUUAAAUUAUAGAUAGAAUUUCAUCAAGUCUUACGUUUUAAAACUUGUGAGAGUUAUUUUAUUCAAAAAUAUCAUUAAUUAGUGGAAGAAGAAGACAUUUUAUUUGGAGUUAUUGGUUUCACUUUUUUAUGUUUAUUUAUUUUAUUUUUAUUUUUAGAAUAAAACAAUUAUCGAAAAAGAAAAUAUUGUUUAGGUAGUAAUUUGUGGGUUAAGUUGUUUUUUAAAUAGACUUAAUGGUUUGACUAAUGGAGAUAAUAAUUUUAAAAAAUAAUUUAUGUACCACUUGUGAUAAAAAAAUGUUUAAGCACGAAGAUGAAAAAAAUGGCAUAAUCUAAGUAUUAGUUUGUAGGUUAAACCAAUGUUGUGCAUAGAGAAAAUAUUAAGAAAAUAUUUUUCUUUAUUUUAUUUUAUUUUUAGAAAAAAAGGAAGCUUUUUAAAUCUCAAAAUUUUUUAAAAAAUCAGAAAAUUAUAUAUAUAAUUAUAUAAAAUUUACAGAAACUUUAAUAAUAUAUAUUUUUUGGAAAAAUAUAUAAUAGAGAGAAAAUACAAAGAAAAUGUAAGGAGAAAUCUAAAAUAUUCUGAUAGUUAAGAUAUUUGUAUAAAACAAUGCAACCUUCCAUAUAUAUCUCUCAAAAAAAUUCUGAUUUUUUUUUUCGUUCCUUGUAUGGAAUAGUUAGGUCACAUUAUUCGUACGGAAAUAGAUGUUGGUAGGUGGAAUUCAAUUUGACUAUCAAGAUCCGGUUCAAUCAUUUUCGGCAAAGCGAAGGUGGAACAAGUUUAUUAGUUAAAAGGAAUUCUGAAGCAGUUUUGUGAUUUUUCUGGGAAUAAAAUUAGUGCAAGGAAAAGUAAUAUGUAUCUUUCCAAAGUAGUUGAGACUGAUUUGUGUGUUCAGAUUAGCCAGAUAUUUGGGUUUCAGAAAUUUCUUAAUCUUGGGAUCUACUUUGGGGUGCCCCUCCUUUAUGACCGAGUUAAAGAAGAUAGUAAGGCAGUAUAUAUGGAGUUGUUCUGCUGGACAGCCAAAACUUGUUGUGGUGAGGUGGGAGUCCAUCUAUCAGCUAAGGUCUCAAGGUGGUCUUAGAUUUCGGCAUCUCAAGGAUCAAAAUAAUUCCUUUCUUAUGAAGGUUGGUUUCAAUUUGGUCACCAUGGAGGAUGCUUUAUGGGUUCGAGUCCUUCGUUUAAAAUAUGGAUGGAACAGUCACAUUCCGGAAUCCAUUUCCAGAAGCCAAAGCUUACACCUAUGGCACUCCCUUUCUAAGGUUUGGCCUCUAUUUCAUGAGAAUCUAAUUUGGUCUGUUGGUAAUGGUUCUAGUAUUCAUUGUUGGAAGGAUUCUUGGGUACGUACCGGGAAGUGGUCCUACUAUCAUAUGUUCCACUUCGUACAAGACUAGAUUUGAAGUGCACUCUGAGAGAUCGGGUAUUUAUUGAUGGUUCAUAGAACUUGGAUUUGUUUCGUACGUAUUUGACUGCCCGAAAAGGUGAUUAAGCUUAUAGUGAGUAUCCCCCCACAUUCUACUAGUGGGGAGGAUAGGGUCAUCUAGGCUUGUUCAGGGUCAGGGUCUUUCUUUGUUCACAAUGAUUAUUGGGCCUUAAAAGAAGACUUUUGGAACCCCAAAGAAGACAGUUGGAAGGAUACUUGAAAAUAUCAAGGCCCCCAAAGAGUCCACUUUUUUCCUUCAGCUAGUAUCUAAACAAAGACUUCUUACUAAUUCAGACCAUACUAGGAAAUGAAUGGGCACACCAACUAUUGUCUUUUAUGUGGCCAUGAUACAGAGGAUAUUCUAUAUGUUCUUCAAGACUGUACGACAGCAAAGGAAGUAUUGAUGCAUGUGGUUCCAUCUAAGAGAUAACACAGAUUCUUUUCUGAUCCUUUUCAAAUUUGGUUUUCCUCUAAUCUAUAUUGUCAUUUUAAUAUGCAAGAUAGCGGAGUUACUUGGUCAUGUCUAUUCAGUUUAAUUGCAUGGAGAAUUUGGAAUAACAAAAAUUUAUUCAUCUUCCAAAAUAUUACUUGAACGACUUAUGAAAUUGUCAAAGUCUCGUUAAGUUGGGCACAAUAGUUUGAACCUUUUCUUAACAGUUCCCAAGCUAAUCCUCUUAAUUCGGUAUUCCACUCACACUAUGAAGGAAAUUGGGUACAUCUAUUCUCUGAUGGAGCAGUGGCCAGAGAUUUCAGGAAUGCUUCCGUUGGCAGGAUGGUUCGUGAUCAGUUUGAAAAUUGGAUAUUGGGCUUUAAUCACUAUCUAGGCAUAUGCUCACCUCUUGAGGUAGAAUUUUGUGGUAUUCUAGAUGGACUCCUCGUUUUAUUAAAUAAGAGAUACAAGAGAGCCACAAUUCAGACAAAUAAUCUGAAGGUGGUUAAAGUUUUGACCAUGAAGGAGUACUCAAUGUACUCAGGUAUUACCUUACUCAUAAGGAUUCAAUGACUUAUGCAUUACGAAGAACAAUGGGAGAUCAGAUACGUACCUAGGAAUUGCAAUUUAAUUAUAGAUCAACUGGUAAAAAUUAGCCUUACAUGAUAGGCAAGCUUACAGAUCUUUGAAGUGCCUCUAGACACUGUGUCUAUGAAUCUUCAACAAGACAAAGCAUUUAGCGUUUCUUAGUAGUUGAUUUGAUGUAAUUUUGUUUUAUUUUCCACAAAAAAUAUGUAUACUUUUAAAUUUUUUGGAAAGUUUUUAAAACUUUCCAUAUUUUUUUUGUUAUUUCUUAAAAUUUUUUUAAAUUUUUUUUUUGAUUUUUUGAAAUUCUUUUGUAUUUUUAUCUAUUUCUUUUAGAUGAGAAGAAUAUUUUUUAAAAUUUUUGGGGAAUUUUAUAUGACUCUCCAUAAUCUUUAGAUUUGUGAAUUUUUUUUAUUUUGUUUGAUUUUUUGUAUUUUCACUUUUUUUUGGUAUUUUAUGUAUUUAAAAAAAUAAAAGUAAAUAGUUUUUUUAGUUAUAGGGAAUUUGUUAUAAAUUUGUAUAUUUUUAUUUUUUUAAGAAAAUUGAGAAUUUUCUCAAAUUUUUAUUUCUUUUUUUCCCCUUUUUCAUUUUUAAAUUUAUUUAGGAAAAUAAGAAUUAGGAGAUGUGACAUGCUAAGAGUGUGCCACAUCAUUUUCUUAAUGCUAUUAACAACUGGGGCAAAGUGAUACAUAGAUGGAAACUUCAAGUAUCAAACUAAUACAAAAAAUUCUUUAGAUACCAAAAUGAUAAUUGAGUGAAACUUUGGGGAGCAAAUAGUGCAUUAACUAUUUUAGAAUAGGAUAACUUAACCUAAUGAUUAUCUGAAAUACCUAAAAUUCAAGAUUUUCCGUUAUUGAAUUUCACUCAAAAUCAAAUAUCAAUCAUUCUUAAUCAAACCUUGAUUUGAAUAUAACUUAAUUUUGAAACUAAAAUUGGAUCUAACUAACCAAUAUAAAAAACCAUAUCAUUAAUCAAAUUUAAACAUAAAUUGAAUUCUUUAUAUUUACAACAAUUUUUUUCUAUUUCCAAACUUUUACACAAUCAUGUAGAUUAUUCCUUUUCUUUCUUUUAUUUUCUGACGAAUAAAAUUAAGCAAACGAUAAAAUUGAUUUAAACCUUCUUGGAUAUUCCCAAACAAGCUUGAUUGGAAGUAGACAUAGAUGAACCGAAGAGAGAAAGGGAGCAUGGAACCAAACUGGUUUGGAUAAAGUUGAUGGUAAGUUUAGUAUAGUGGUUGAUUUAGUCAUUGAGAAUGUAGAGCUCGUUUGAAGAAUUUGUGAAACAAUGUAAUUUCAAGAGGGAGAGAAUGUUGUAGGUCAGAUAGAUAAUAUGGUCAUUGAGAGAUCCAAAUUGAUUCGUUAAAGUGGUGAUGGACAAUAAGGGUUUGUAAUUGUGGGGUGAGAAUAUGCGAAGCAAGUUUUAUUUUGGUUUCAGCUUUCACAUGUUCUUUUUUCAUAAACAUAAAAAAAAUUAACAAAUGAAAAAUAUAGAAAAACUACGUUAAAAGAGAUGGAGAAGGGAGAAAUUCGAAGGGAGAAGCAAAAGGGAAUGAAAAAUAAAGAAAAAAAAGUUGAAAGAGCAUAAAAGAAAAAAUUAAAUUGUUUAAAAUAAAAAAAUAUGGUGACCAAUUGUAUAAUUUAAUCUAAAAUUUUUGUUUGAAAUGAAAAUUUAACGUGCCAUGUCAGCUUACCGUUACACCAUUAACGGUAAUUAAUGGCUUAGUGACUAAAAUGUUACAAUGCGUUAACGUAAAUGACUCAAAAGUAACAUUUCAAACAUAAGUGACUAAAAUGUAACCCGAGGUAAAUAAAAGUGACGAUUUUAAUAGUUUACUCAUAAAUUUAACAAUGUUAAUAAUUGUAUUUUAAUUUUGAAAUUUGAAAAGUAGGAUUAAAUUCCUAAAAUAAAAGUACACGGAGUCAAUUUCAAAUUUGGAAUGAGUACAAGAACUUGACAUAUUUUAAUCUGAUUGAAAGUUACCAAGACUUAUUGGAAAUAAUGGUUAAAGCUUUUGUCUAAUACUUAGAUAACGCGAAUUGAAACCUUAUUAUCCCCUCCUCAUCCCUAAUAUUGUAACUAGAGGUUAACCCAGGGGGGCUGGCAAGGCCCCCAGCUCCCCUUAAAAUGGUAAAUUGUUGUUUUGGCUCUUUAGAAAAUUUUAAAAUUUUAAAAUUUUAAAAUAAUAAAGGUAAAAUUACACUUUGGCCCCCUAAAAUUAUGAAAAUUUAAUUUAAUUCUUUAAAAAUUAUAAAGAUAUAGACUAUUAAAAAUUAAAAUUUCAUUUCGGCCCCUAAAAUCUUUUUUUAGCUUCACCCCUAAUUGUAAAAAAAAAUUUUAAAUUGAAAUUAUUACUUAAUAAUUAAGAAUUAUAUUUUUACAUGAUAUUCCUCAAUUAUAAAUAAUAUUAAGAUACAUGUUUUAAACAUGCUGAACCACUAUGCUUUGUGCUUGCCAAACUUGAAAACCAGAAAUUUUCCUCAAUUGAGAUGUUUUAUUGUAACCCAAGUAUUUAGUUCAUUGACACUUAACUAUAUUUUUCCCUUAAUCAUUUAAUUUUUCGAAAUUGAAUUUUAGUCACUUUUUCUUUAAUUGUCUAAUGGAAGUCUAACAUGAGUUUUGUUUUAUUAGUUUAAUAAUAAAUUUAGGCAUUUAUAAUUUACACAUUUAAUCAAUUUGAUCUCAAAUCUAAAAUAAAUUCAGUCUUCAAUAUUUUCAAGAUUUAUCAUUCUAAACUUAAUUAUAAAAACUAUAAAAAAUAAAAAUCUUAAAAAAAUAAAAAGAAAAUAUAAAUUUGUGAUUUGAAUAUUAAAAUUUGAUUGAAUAUUCAUGAUUUGAAUUAAAACAAUUUUUGAUUUCUUUUAUCAUUUAUAUUUGGACUCUUAAGAAUAUUAAAACUAGAAAUAUAUAAGAUUUAUAUAACAAAAAUAGAUAAUGUUAGAUUAUGUGAUCCGAAUUUCGCCAUUUGUUAAAGAAAUAAAAGUAAGAUAAAAUAUACCAAAGUUGCAAAUAUGCAAUAGAAGAACAUAGUAGAUUUAAUUACCAGCACAAAGUUCUAAUUUACGGAUUUACAAAGGGAAUAGUGGUUUAUGUUUAAUAGAAAUUACAAACACACUAUAUAACAUAUUAUUCUUAAAGUCGAGUUUUCUUAGGAGAAAUCAAGUCCUGAAAAUACACAAUACAAUAUGAAUAAAGGAGAGUAGUUGCACUUUGCCUACAAUAAGCCGCUCGAUUCCAUUGAUAUUAUGGCACCUUAGGUACCUAUAAAAUUUGAAAACAAGGAUUUAUCAAAAACGUAGUGGAAUUCAAUGUGUUUUAAGUAAUGUAAUGAUUGGUUUUUUAAGAAUACCUGCGGAUUUAGCAUCAUAUAACGUUUGGUAAGAAGCUUGCAUCUAAUAGAACAAAGCUUGGAAACAACAUCAAUCAUGUCUAUCCUCAAACUUGGUGAAUCUGCAGAACAAAUUUCAUAAAUUUUUUAUCCGAUAUUGAUCUUUCAAAUCAAUUAGUUAAUCUUUCACGGUUCUUGAAAAAUAUUUCGUUAAUAUACAAAUGUUAACUCUUGUAUAAUUGCCGUUUGAAGGAACCAAUUUAGGGAUCCUAGAUCAGAUUUGAACGUGAAGGACAUCGCUCAAGAUCUAGACGAAUCGGGGAAAAAUCGUGCCUAUGAUAGCACCACACAGUCUUCCACACAAGUUUGUGGGUCACACGGCCCCUCACACGACCAUGUCCCCCUAAAACCCAAAAAUCUUAGAUUCUCACAUAGCCUAGGACCCUUCAUAUAUGACUAUGUCUCCCUUGCACCCUGGUUUUGCAUGACCCACACAGCCACAGUCUAUCACACGAUAGUGUAACCCCUUCGCAUUGUUGAAGGCAUUGCACACGGCCAUGUGCCCCUAUUUUAAAUUUUUACCUAGAAUUUUACGAUAGAAUUUUUUUUGGCUUGCCCCCGAUUGUAACAAAAAAGAAUUUUAAUUCUUAAUUAUUACUUAAUAAUUAAGAAUUAUAUUUUUACAUGAUUUUCCCCCAUUAUAAAUAAUAUUAAGGUAUAUGUUUUAAACAUGUUGAACCACUAUGCUUUGCGCUGGCCAAAGUUGAAAAACAGAAAUUGUCCUCAAUUGAGAUGUUUUAUUGUAACCCAACUAUUUAGUUCAUUGACACCUAACUAUUAAUUUUUUUUCUUAACCAUUUAAUUUUUCGAAAUUGAAUUUUAGUCACUUUUUCUUUAAUUGUCUAACGGAAGUCUAACAUGAGUUUUGUUUUAUUAGUUUAAUAAUAAAUUUAGACAUUUAAUAUUUACACAUUUAAUCAAUUUGAUCUCAAAUCUAAAAUAAGUUCAAUCCUCAAUAUUUACGAGAUUGAUCAUUCUAAUCUUAAUUAUAAAAAGUAUAAAAAAUAAAAAUCUUAAAAAAAUAAAAAGAAAAUAUAAAUUUGUGAUUUGAAUAUUAAAAUUUGAUUGAAUAUUCAUGAUUUGAAUUAAAACAAUUUUUGAUUUUUGAUUUCUUUUAUCAUUUAUAUUUGGACUCUUAAGAAUAUUAAAACUAGAAAUAUAUAAGUUUUAUAUAAUAAAUAUAGAUUAGAUUAUGUGAUCCGAAUUUCGUCAUUUGUAUUUGGGAAGCGUCAUCCUUAUGAGUUAAUUGUUUUACACUUCUUACUUGGUGUAGCUUCUUACAUGGGCCGUGAGUGGGAACUUAGUUUUCGUUUGGGUAUGCGGCCUUGGAUCACUAUUGCAUAUUCAACUCCUGUUGCAGCUACUACCACCGUUUUCUUGAUCUAACAUGUGAAACAGAUACAGACAUUGCUUAGAGGUCCAAGGUUUAAAUCACACCUCUCUCAUUUUUCCUUUUUAAAUUUAUUAAGAAAUGGGUAGCAAUCCAAUGGUUAAACACUUAUUCCUCUCCCAUGCAGCCUCUUCAUAUUUGAAAACUCUAGCUAUUUAGUCCCCUUUUCCCUAAUUACACUAGGAUUAUGUUUUUUUUUUGUUCCAAUUAGAAUUUCUCUUCUCUCUCCCUAUUUCUUCUCAUAUUUCUUUUCCAUCGUCAUCUUUGCAUCAAAUUUUCUCUCCAUUGCUGAAACUAUUUUUGCUCUCGAUGUCAAAUCAAUCCCCGAUAAUUCGAUUCUCUAUCGAUUGUUGAAUUCAUCGUUGAUAGCUUCCAUAAUUCCAUCAAGUACGGUAAGUGCCUCUCAAUCUAAAGUUUAGGACCCCAAAUUUCAUAAAUUUUUUAUUCGAUAUUGAUCUUACAAAUCAAUUAGUCAAUAUUUCACGGUUCCAAAAAAAUCUUUCGUUAAUAUACAAAUGUUAACUCUUGUAUAAUUGUUGUUUGAAGGACCCAAUUUAGGGAUCUUGGAUCAGAUUUGAACGUGAGGGACAUCGCUCAGGAUCUCAAUGAAUCGGGGAAAAAUCGUGCCUAUGAUAGCACCACACAGUCUUUGACACAAGUUUGUGGGUCACACGGCCCCUCACACGACCAUGUCCCCCUGAAACCCAAGGAUCUUAGAUUCUCACAUGGUCUAGGACCCUUCAUAUGACUGUCUCUCCCUUGCACCCUAAUUUUGCAUGAUCCACACGGUCACAGUCUGGCACUUAAUAGUGUAACCCCUUCGCAUGGCUGAAGGCAUUGCACACGACCAUGUGUCCCUAUUUUAAAAUUAUACCUAAAAUUUUAUGAUUUGUUCAGUUUAGUCCCUGAAUCAUUUUUGAAUUAUUUUUUAGAGUUUUAUUUUUUUUCGAUUAAGUCCCUAAUAACAUGGAAAAUGCUAGAAUCCAUGACAUGAUUGACUAAAUUAAUAUUAUAUAUAAUUAUCUGGAUUGUGAAUGAUAUAUAUGUUUAUUACAUAAACAGAGCCAUGUUGUGCUCUAUCUAUAAGUAUAAACAGAUAAUCAAAAUAAAUUUCACUUCUUCUUGAAUGAUUUGAUUAUAUAGAGAGUGACAUUCUUUAGAUCUUAUGCAUGUUUUGAGUUAUAUAUAAGAAUGGAUGUGAUAUUAUAUAUGUGUUAUAAAUUGUUUUUUAUUGUCAAGGUUGUGGUUCUUAGGAAAUAGACUGUGGACUAUCAUCUCCAUGUAAGGCUAUUUUUUUAAAAUUCAUAGAAUUCUUGUGAAUCGAAAACGGACAUAAGACUUAAAUCACUACAAGAAAUUAAGCUUUUAGAGGCGUUUUUAGUGGCGUUUGGACCAAAAACACCGCAAAAGUUAUACAUUAGUGGCGCUAAUCGAAAAACGCCGCAAAAGGUUAGAGCUAUAGUACAUUUAUGAGAAAACGCCGCAAAAGGUCUAGUAGCAACAUGCAGAAGGUCUAGCAAUAGCAGCGCUUAUGAGAAAAAUACCGCAAAAAGUCAAGCAUUAGCGGCGUUUUUAUACGCUGCAAAAAAUCAUUUUAUUUUAAACAAACGGCGCCGUUUUGCUCCCUGUAUUCUCACCCAUCAUCCAAGUGGCCAAUCAUGUAUUCUUUUUGACAACUCAUGCACUCUUUCAUCCUAUUCUGUUUAUUAUUUAACUAGUUUCUUUAUAUUAAUUAAAAUAUAAUUUAUUUUUAAUUUAAUAUUAAAAAUCUUCAAAAAAAAAAUUAAUGACAUGUAGAAAACAUUUGAAAGUAAAACCAUAGAAAAAUAUAUGUUAAAAAUGAAAAAAUUAAAUUACUAUUAUUUAAAAUACUGUUAUUUAAAAUAAUUUUAUUUGCUCUAACAAACUAAUUUCUAACCAGAAGAUUUUGAUUGGGGAUUCUAGUUUAUAGAGAGGCUUGACUCCUUUUGUAGAUGAUGGCCUAAUUAAGAUAGUUGGAUUUAGAAAUGUCCUGCAUGGUCUUGUUUUGCUUGCUCCAAAUGGACAUGGGACUCAUUUAGCACAGGUAGAAUGAGACUGUUCAUGACUGGUUUGCACUCUUUAACCUUAGGGAUUUUGAAAUUUUGGAGAUUAGACUAUAUUUGGGAAUUUGAAGAUAUAGCGAAAAUUGUAGCUCCUAACCAAAUUAGGUUCAUUGAUUAUGAGGUUGGAUCCUUCAUUGUUGGUAUAUAAAUAUUAUGAGUCGGGCAUGACAAUGAUUGUAACUUGUGAGCAUGGUUAUUUUACCUUAUUGAUAUUGAUAAAAUUAUUGAAGAUAUUACCUUUGUACUAUUUUGAUUUUUGUUGCCCGAGAUGCAAUCUUUCUCCCUGUUUAGAGCCCAUGUUUGUAAGGUGUGCCAAAAGUUGAACUUGAAUUAAAAACAUAAUAUUUAAAUUCUAAAUUUAAAUUCAUUAAUUUUUAUAUUUAGUUUUAAAGUUAAAAUUUUAAUAGAAAAUUUAAUUUAAUUAAUAUUUUUCUAUUUAGUAUAUAGUUUAAAGUGUUGGAACAUUUUCAAAUAUUUAUAGUAUCCCAAUAACUAUAAAUGAAUGGGUGUAAUUAAUCAAAAGAUAAAUCUUUUGGUCAUUGGUCAAAAGUUAUAUCAUUUGAUUUUUUUAAAAAAGAAUUAUAAUUAUUCAAAAAAUAUUAUUUGAAUAGUUACAAAAUUAAAUGAAUAAUUAUUAUUAUAUAUUUAUUCAUAAAGACACCUAUUGAAAUAUGUCUCUAUGAAGAGACAAGAAAAUUCCUAUAAAUAGGAAUGGGUUUUCAUUUGGAAAUAUAUCAACAAAUUCUUAUAUUAUUUCUUCUCUUCCUUCAUUUUCUAAUAUUAUUAGAUUAUUCUAUAAAGUAUUACUGCAGAAAUCCUUUGUAGAAAUUGAGUUUUUGUUACACAUUACUCAGUGCAUAGUGGACUAUUCUCGUCAGUGCAAAACGCAAAUAGUCAUUGGCUUCAUUGUAUCCUCGAGGUUAAUUUGCUUGGAACUCAUUUGCACACUGAAGAUAAGUGGGGGCGAAUAUAACCUUAAAGAUAGUGGCUUGAUACACGCCUUGGAGCCUUGUAUUAUUUCUUCUUUUUCUUUUCGAGUUCCGAUUGUGUGUUCGAGAUUUUCCUUACCGGAGUUUUGUAAUAACAUAAAGUUCAAAUUUCAAAAAUAAAACAUAAUAUAAUAUUUUAUCAUAGAAAUAAAUAUUAUUUAAUUAAAAUAAUUAUUUUUAAAGAUCAUGUUCUAUAGCAGCGUUUGUGGGAAAAGCGCCGCUAAAAGUCAUGUUCCAUUACACCCAAAUUAUAUCAGACACUUAACUAAAAACAUCCGAGCAACAUUGCUCCACCAACUGAUGUAACAUGGCUUUGAAAGCUACCCUAAAAUCAUCCAUUCUUUCAUGUAAUGUGUGGUAGUUGACUCUCACCCCCAUUAUUGGCUCCAAUUUAUAUUCUCGUUGAAAACUACAUUUCGAAUAGUGGUAGACUCUUCAACCGCAUCUUGCUUAACCAACUGAGGUGCCUUGGAAAACAAUUGAAGAAAAAUUUAUAAUUGAAACUUUAAUCUCAUGUCAUCAAGGAAAAAAAUAAGAAACACAUAUAUACUCAAGGAAUUUAAUUAAAAAUUUUGCAUGUUAUGCCUUCAGUUGCAAUUGUUAUAAUUACAUAGAAUAAAGUAGGAUUAAAAGGUUGUAGGAUAUAUACCUUUGUUUUGCAAUGUACAAAUUCCUGUGAAUCAAUGAAGAAACCAGUAGUAAACUUAGGGCAAUCUCUUACUUUCAACUCUAUCAUUGCUGGGAAUACAGAAUGAUAUCCUUUGGGACAAAAGUGAAUGAGGCCAGGUAGUUCUUCAAGUGAUAACCUUUUUAAUUUAUCAAAUUUCAUCUCCUCUUAAGCUACCACUUCCACUUUUUCUUCUAAUUCGAAUACUUGUUCCAAUUUAGAAUUCCUUUUAACUAUGAGAAUUUUAAGCUUUGGAAGAACAGGAACAAAUCCAAAAGGAAAGAGACUGUUCAAUUUUUUACAAUUUGUAACAACGAUCCGAGUCAAAUUGGGAAAGCUCAUAGGUUGGAGGCUAGUAUCACCAUUUGAUGAUGAUGAAGAAACUUGAUCCUUGGCUAAAAUGAGUCGUUCUAUUUCCUCACACCCCACGAUGAAAAGAUCCACCAAAUGUGAUAAACUGCGAGCCAUCAUAGGUGAAAAUAUAUAUCUUAGCUUCUUGCAAUCACUCAGUGUUAGAGUUGUAAGGUUCUCAAGGGUUACAACUUGAGCAAAAUCGUUCCAUAUAACCCGCAAUUCUAAUAAAUUCCUCAAUUUCAAUUUUUUAUGCUUGAGAACGAGUACCCGCCUUGAACUUGAAAUACUUCUUCAUGAUUCCCAACUACUAUACAACCUUCAUUCAAUACAGGAACAUCAGUGUUGCAUAAUUGGUGGCUAUUUCCCACAUUACUAAGAACCAAUUCCUGCAUACACAGAAAUCCUAAUAAAUGUCAUAAAAACACACUAGAGUAAAUGUUACCCAUAAGUCUUCAUAAUUUUACAUAUUUCAAGUAAUAAAAUAUACUACUUCUCUAAUCUCAAUGCUACAUGUAUCUUUGAUUUUUUAAAGGAUAUAUUUUUUAAAUCUAAACCCCUAAAAUAUCUACCAAAUUCAAAAGGCCAUUGCUUGAUACAUUUUUAUUUAAAGAGUGAACAAUGGAAUUCAUUUACAAAACUAUGUAUAAAAGAGGAAUGAAUUAUCACAUGAACUAAGCAACAUAUCGAUUUACUGAUUUGCUAUAAUGCCAAAAUCCAUAUAUAAAAUGCGAACAAUCUAAAUAUCUCUAUGAGCUGAGCUUGUACAAUGAAGCAUGAGAUUUGGGGACAAUUUGACACUACUAAAUCUUGCAGAAAGGGCACAUUAAGUAGAAUGUGAUCACCAAUCACAUCCCUUUCUUUUGUCGAACUGAAGACUUGUAGUAGUUGAGGGCAGUUCUCUAGGUAAACAGAUUCCAACAAUGGAAAUCCCUGAGAUAAAGUGUUUGCAAACACAUAUUUCAAUCGUUGGCAAUCCACUAUCCGGAGAGUUUUCAAUUUUGUCCAGCAAUGAUUCUACAUGAAUGAACCACAUAGUUAGAUAUUAUACCAAAUAUAUUUGUUUAAAUAAAAGUGAGGAAUAUGAUUUAUUAAACAUAAUUUAAGUUUUAAAGAAUUUCUUUACCAAAACAUAUGAAAAAGAUAUAAAUUGAUCUUUGAAUGUACCAAUUAUAAAGAGAUGUAUUUAUUAUAUUUUGGAACUGUGAUACCCCAACCACUUCAAAAUCAUUAAUCAUGACAAUAAAAAAAUAAAAAUACAAUAUGCAUUGUAAUAGUCGAUGAGAGAGAUUGAACUCUGAUACUCGUUUAACUUUAAAAUCAAAGAAUUAUGAAUACAAUUUUUUUUAGUCCAACCCGAAAUUUCGAAUAAAAAUAUUAAUAUUAUUCUACAAUGAUAUCAAUACAUAUUUAUGCAAACACUGUAUUAAUAUCUCACAUAAAUUAUCAAAUUAAAAUAUGGUAGCCUUGCAAAAACAAAUCAUAUUAUGGUAAAUUAAUUUAAUAAUUUUCUAAAAUAUAAUUUAAAUAAUUAUUAUUAUAUUAAAUAAAUAUAAAAUAUAAAUAAAUAUAUUAAAGCUUAACAUCAAUAGAAAAUAAAUAUAUAAUAUUUCUCUAUUUUAAUUUUUACUAUUUAUAAUUAUACAUGAAUUAUUUAAAAUAUGAAUGUUAUAGUAUAUUAGUAUUUGAUAACAAAAAUUUAUAAAUUAAUUUGAUAUACUAAUUUUAAAAACAUAUAGUUGUAAUUUAAUUUUUAAGUUAUUAACUUUUUAUAUUUUUAAAUGGUUGUCAUAUGGUAUGUGUAUGUUCGAUUUGAUUUAAACUCAAUAAAAAAAAUUGAAUUGAACACUACAAUUCAAAUUAAGUUUCAAUUUUUUCAACUCUUUGCUCAGCCUUAAAAAUGUAAAUACAGAAGUACCUGUGAUCCAAGUUCAGGAAGCACAAUAUCAUGUCCAUGCUUAUUUUGUUCCAUGUUGAAGACUUGUAUAAGUUGAGAACAAUCUCUAAUGUAAACAGAUUCCAAGGAUUGAAGCCCUUGAGUCCAAGUGUUUGCACAAACAUAUUUCAAAUUUGGGCAAAAUUCUAUGCGAAGAAUCCUCAAUUUCGGCCAACAACAAAGAGGAGAGUCAUUCUACAUGUUUCAAACACACAUCUUAGUAAGUUAUUUAUAAAACACACAAUCAAAAUAAAUAAAAUUGAAUUUAUUUUUUAUAAUUAGGAAUGGAGAAUAAAAUUGUUUGAAAUUGAAUUCAAGUAUUCAUGUCUGCAAUAUAAUAUUUAUUUUAAAUUAUAAAAAUAUUAAAGCAUUAUUAUAAAUUAAAUAAAAGAUAGAAUUUCCUUCUAUAUAAAUAAUUACAUUCUUCUAUCAUGUAAAUUGUGUUGAAGUCAAACAAACCUUAUAAGUGGGCAAUCCAUGGGCAAAAGUCAAGGUGGCAUGGAAUUAAUUGAAGGCUUAUCCAUAAAUAAAUAAAAUAAACAUAAAAUGAGAGAGGUGGCAAUUGAUGAGGUGGUUUUUGAGCCUAUUAUAAGGUUUCAUAUAUUUGUGACAUGAAGAAAAAGAAAGAGUAAGAAAUGAAAGAAAUGUGUGUGAGUUGAGUUUGUGUGCACAAGAGUGGAAAUAUGCAAAGAGUGAAUUGUGAGUGUAUAACUAUUGGUAACUAGAAAUUGAGAGAGGGGAAACUAUAUUUAUAUUUUGUGUAAGUGUAUAUGCAAAGAGUGAAUUGUGAGUGUAUAACUAGUGGUAACUAGAAAUUGAGAGAGGAGAAACUAUAUUUAUAUUUUGUGUAAGUGUAUUUGUUUUGAGUAAUAAAAGUUAAUUUCCUUAGUCACUACUACACUUCCAAUAGGUGGUAUCCAAGUUACAUUGGUGUCCUCGUCACAAGGAGAUGACAAACAUGUUUCAACCAUAGAUAGAAUCACAAACCAAAUUAAAAUCCAUGAUCCUAGGGAUUGUCUUGGGCAAUUUCAAAUCAAUCUAAUCUCCAAAAGAUAAUCUCCUAAGUGAUAUGAUCUUCUAUAAUGGUCUAGAUAUCAAUCGUAGACUCAAUCAUACCCCAUAAAAGUCAUUCAAUAAGUUGCCAAUAUAAUAAAUAUGGAAAAGGUCUCCAUAUCGAUUUAGUGCUCUAGGGAAUGAAUACUUCCUUUGACACUAAAAUGUGAGUUUUUUCAACAGUAUCAAACUGACCUUGUAAGUUAGCAAUCUAAAGGUAGAAUAAAGUGGCAUGGAAUUAAUUAAACGCUUUUCUAUAAAUAGAUAAAAUCUAAAUAAAAAUGAGAGACAACAAUUCAUAAUGCAUUUUAUAAGCCUAUAAAUAGGUUUCAUAUAUAUGUGAUAUGUAAAAGCAAGCGUGUGAAAGAGAAGAAAAAGAAAGAGUAUGAAACAAAACAAAGGUGUGUGACUUUGUGUGCAUGAGUGGAAAUAAGCAAAGACUGAAUUGUGAGUGUAUAACUAGUUGUAGGUAGUAAUUGAGAGGGAGAAGAAAACAUAUUUGUAUUUUGCAUUGGUGUAUUUCUUUUUAGUAAUAAAAGUUAAUUUCUUUAGUGGCCACAAUGCUUCCAACAAACCAGAUGCACACAAAUAAUAAAAGAAUCAAAACCAAUCUAAACUCAAUAAAGGUUUUCUUUCAAUUUGUCUCAUCCCUGAAAAAAUGCUAUAAAAAAGCUAAAACAAUUAAGAAGAUUAACAAAAUUGGAGAGAAUAGGUAUCCCUACCUCAAUAAUCUCUUCUUCUUGGACAAAACCAAUGACUUGCUCUAAUCCAUGGCACCAAGUUACAUCGAGUUCUUCUAGAUGCAGCAUACUUAGAGCUAGGCAAGGUGAGAAGAUUGUUUUUAGUUUAUCACAGUCACCAAUUUUUACAACCUUUAAUCUUGCGAGGCUUGCAGUUGCAUGAUGUGAUGGCUCUAAUUUCCAUAUGCUCUCCAAUUUCGGCAAUGAAUAUAGUUCCAAUAUUGUUAAAUUUGAGAGCAAUGGCAUCUGACAUUUCACUUUUUCUGAAAGUUUAUCCAUUUGAAAUAUCACUUGUAACUCUUUACAAUCUCUAAUGAUCACUUGCUUAAGAUUUUGCAAGAACCUAGUCGGAGAAAGACCAUAGCACAACCCUUUCAAAGAAACCAUGUUUGCUACAUUUCAUUCCACCAAAUUAGAGAAUGCAACAGUUGGCCCUUGAUCUCUUGUUAUAUCAGUCAAGAAUUCCAUAUCCUUGCAAGAUUCAAGCUCCAAAGAAGUCAACUCAUUUACUCCCAUUUUACCUAUGCUUGGCACAAUGUUCUUCUGUCCACUAACAUUCCCCAACUUCAACUUUUCCACAUUGCAAAAUAAAUGGUUAAAUGCACUCAAUGAGGAUGAAAAGUUUUUAAUUGUCAAUGCUCUGAAGCUUAGUGACUCUAGAUAUCUAAUAUAGUCAUUUACAACUAUAGCAUACCUUUGUAGUUUAGGGAGCACAAAAUAUUCUUGAGAAAAAUGAUUAGUAGAAAGUCUUAGUGAUAGACAACGAAUUCAGCUCCAAUAAGUUGAUAUUGCUUUUGCUUCUCACAUGUAUCUCUUCCAGUGAAGUCAACCUAUUAUAUUCAUAAAAAAAAAUAGCAUUAAUUGUCAAGUUAUGUGACACAAUACAGAUUGGUCCAAGUCCAAAAAUAAAAACUAUCAUGUGAGUCAAAUUUUUUAUGUUUAAAAGAACACAUUUUUAUAAUUUUGAAAAAAAAAAGUUAAAUGCAAAAAUAAUUUUGACAACAUAAAAUCAUAUAAUUACUAAAACUGAAGUCAUUAUUAAAGUGAAAUUACAAAUUAUUCAUAUCACAUAUAUUUUAAAAUAUAACUAAUACUCAACAAAUCAACUAUUUUAUCUUUAUAUUUUAUUAAAAAAAUUAUUUAUUUUAAUUACCAGUAAUAUUGUAUUAAACUUAAUUAACUUUUUAUUGAGUAUGUCAUAUUCAUUUUUUAUAUCUACUUUAAUCUAUAACUUAAUCAUAGUCCACAUAUAUUUCUUGCUGACAUUACACUUUUAUUUUAUAUAUCAGGUCAACAAAUAAUUUAAAAUUUAUAAAAAUAUUUAAAAAUUCAAAAUUCAAAAUAAAAAAAUAUAAAAAAAUAGCAUGAAGUAUACAUGGAUUGCCAUGCUGUCUUCCAUGUUUAAAAUUUUAAAAUUUUAAUUAGUAUUUCGUCAAAAAAAAAAUUCAACACUUCUUCAAAUGUUGAUGCUCAAAUUUAAAAUUUAAAAGGUUCAGAGUCAAAUUUAGCUAAAAAAAAAUAAGUGCUAAAUUGAUAAAUAAUGUAAAUAUUAAGAGUUAAUUUUUUCAAAUUAACUUAUUUUUUCAAAUUUAUUGCAUUCACUAUUUGAAAUAUCUAUUAAAGUAAUUAAUAGAAAUAUGAUAAAAAAAGAAAUUAAAUCUGAUGCACUAUUACCUUGAUAGCAGGUUGGGGGGGAAAUUGAUUUCUUCUUCCUCUUCAACUGCAACAAAUAAUAAUUUCAGUGCAGGCAAUUUCACUAAUUCUUCACUUAUCUCAUCAAACUUAGUCUCAAACAAUGCAAGAAUCUCAAGGCUUCUCAUAUUUGUCAGUGAUGAUGAGAAGUUUUCCAGAUUGCAUCUAAUACAGCACAAAGUUUUAAGAUUUGGCAAGGAAUGGAAUCCUUUCAGUGGAAAGACAUUUUCGAGGAGCAAAACUCGGAGGGCUUUCAUUUCUUCAAAAAAUGUAUUGGGAACCACAAGUAAAUCAUCCCCCGCUCCCCCCUUCAGAAACAAAGUCUUGAGCUUUGAAAACUCCACUUUAUCAGGGAAAUUUUUUAUGUUACUACUACAAUUCCAUAAAGCGAUUGCAGUAUAACAUCCAACCAUAUGAGGCCAUUCUUUCAACUUAUCUUUUACCAUGAACCUAUUUUCUCCGGUUGAUGUUAGCCAAUGGGCAAAAUCUCGAACCCCAUCAUGCAUUCUUAUCGUUUCUGCAACAUCAGUUUCCAAUAACAAGCCAGAUUUUUGGAGUUUUUUUAGUGCCAUGCCAAUUUCAUUCCUUUUAUCUUCAAUCGAGAAAGCAUUAGGGAACAAUCCUACUCCAAUUCCGCACAUAAUCAAUACGUCACUAAUGAUUUCAGCAUCUUCAGGAGGGAACACAGUAAGUAACACAUUUGGAUGUCAUUUCCCGUCAUUUGGCUAUUGCCUUCUUUCAAAUAAUCGUAGCUAAGCUUGAGAGGCUUGAGGGCACCUCCGAGAACUUCUUCAUUAUCCAAAUGCCUUGAGUCCUUGAAUCUCUGAUUCACGGCUCUCCACCCAUCUAAACUCUCACCUUUUAGAGCUUUUGCCACGGUAACAAUUGCAAGAGGCAAUCCCUUACAUUCACCAGCAACCUCUUUGGCUACAUGAGUCAAGGUGGAACAGUCGUCUUCUAAACCAGCUUUAUCUCAAAGUAAAACCCAUGCUUCGUCUUCGGAUAAGAUGCCAAGUUGAAUUUCCUUCUGACAGUUCAUUUUAGUGCAGACUUGUUGAUGACGUGUAGUCAGAAGAAUUUUACAACCCUUGUGUUCAUCACCGAAUGGAAUUCCGAUGCUCUCCAAUUUGAAUUCUUCCCAGAGGUCAUCGACAAUUACGAGGAUUUUUUUCACGCCUUGCAUACUCCUGAAUAGCUCUUCUGCUUUUCCUUCUUGGCUACUUGUUUCAAAAUGUAAACCAAAAAUAUCAGCAACUUUCUCUUGAAUUUUCUUGAUGUUUGGAUUUUGGGACAUAGUAAACAUCACAACUUUAUCAAAGAGCUUUUUUUCUCGAGCAUGCUUCCCAACUUCUUUGGCUAAAGUAGUUUUACCAACUCCUGGCAUUCCGUGCAGUCCGAUCAUGUUGACAGAAUUUAUAGCCUCCAUGAUCUGGUUCAAAGCCGAUUUUGAUGAUUCAGAGUCCAUGAAAUCCGUGGAUGUGAUGAACUCUAUUCCUUGAAGAGAACCACAAUACCCCAACUGUGGAAAAUUAGAAGUUUCUGUUGGAACAAUGGCAGCAGCAAAAAGAAACAGAACAAGACAGAGAAUAAAGGAGGAAGAAACAAAAACAAUUUACUUGCUCACAAACGUGCAGCAAGGGAGCUAAUGGUUGAUAGCUCAUUCAGCUCAUUCAUUCAACUAGAAAAACAACAUAUAUAUAGUCAAAUACAUCACCAAAUACUACCUACUACCACUAGUUUUACUUUGAAACAAGUAAAACUUAACUUGCACACAAGCUGAUUAUGUCAAUCAGCACCUAAAAACAUCAAAACAAUACCAACUUAGUUCAUUUUCAACUAAGUAGCUUAACAAAGAAACUAAAGAGAAAUCCUUGCUGUUACAGCAAGUAUACGUGCUGCAGCAUGUCAUCAAGCUGCAUGCACUUCAAACAAAACAUGUAACAGCAGCAUGGUUGGCCAAUUUCAACACUCCUCCUUGAACUCCAUGCUGCAAAUACCAGUCAUUCAUCAAGUUUUUGAACUUGGCAGCCCUUAGAUGCUUUGUUUCAAGCUGACCAAUUCAUUUUCAACCUUGGCCUCAUUUACAAACAACAAAUCUGACUUACACACUUGACUAUACUAGUCUUUUGUGCCAAAGAUUUGUUCAUCAAAUGGAGUCUUCUCCUCCUUCACAGCCUUGGUUGACAACACAUCUUGCCUUGUUUCUUUUCUUCUUCUUGCACAAACAGUUCGUGAGUAUAGUUUGCUUGCCUUCAUUCUGCCAUUUUGGCUUGCAAUUCGACAGGCUCACACUUUGCUUACUGUCUUCAAUAGGCUUGCAACUAUUCAACACACAUUGAGCUUCCACAUGUUGCUGAACUCACACCUUUGACAGACUCACAUCUUUGCAUAUUGUCUUCAACAGGUGUCUUCAACAGGCUCGCACUUUGCUAAGCUUGCAGCUUUGACAUCUUGCUAAGCUUGCACAUUUGGAAAGCUCACACCUUUCCUUGAAACUCCUCCUUUAGCUUAUUCAAGCUUGUUUGGAGGUCUCAUAAGUUUGAGCCGAUGUUGAGCAGGGGAAGCAAAAUCAAUGGUCCCUUAAGACUUAGGCUCAUGAUACCAUUUGUUGGAACAAUGGCAGCAGCAAAAAGAAACAGAACAAGACAGAGAAUAAAGGAGGAAGAAACAAAAACAAUUUACUUGCUCACAAACGUGCAGCAAGGGAGCUAAUGGUUGAUAGCUCAUUCAGCUCAUUCAUUCAACUAGAAAAACAACAUAUAUAUAGUCAAAUACAUCACCAAAUACUACCUACUACCACUAGUUUUACUUUGAAACAAGUAAAACUUAACUUGCACACAAGCUGAUUAUGUCAAUCAGCACCUAAAAACAUCAAAACAAUACCAACUUAGUUCAUUUUCAACUAAGUAGCUUAACAAAGAAACUAAAGAGAAAACCUUGCUGUUAUAGCAAGUAUACGUGCUGCAGCAUGUCAUCAAGCUGCAUGCACUUCAAACAAAACAUGUAACAGCAGCAUGGUUGGCCAAUUUCAACAGUUUCUAAAAGUUUAGAGAUAAUAAGAGUCUUCUCUGCCAGUUUCUUACUUAAACGAUAUCGCCAGCUCCAUUGAGGACACCAUUUGAACCGCUUGACGCCAUCUAUUUCCUCUUCGAAGUUCUGGGUUUCUUCCAGUUCUUUCUCAGCCCUUCUAAGCCAGUCUUCAACGUCUUCAUAGAUGACCUUAAUUUGCCUUUUAGCCUCAUCGACACGAGUUUUCACCCUCUGUUUCCUCAAUUUAAGUUCCUUUCGUUGAUUCUUGAAAUCUUCAACAAUCUCUCCAUAACAGAAAAAGUAACGGAGAUAAGGUGAUGCGUAUUCCUUUGCCUGGUUUUUCACACUUUCGACAGCAUUAGAGGCAACAUAUUCUGCCAUUUUUGUUGAUAGUCUGAUGAAGUUGAACAAAAACUUUGGUUGUUAGUAAGAAGAUUAACAUAAAGACAAAUGAAAGCAAUUGUGAAUGCUUGCUUAACUAACAGUAGUAGGAAUCAUCAAUGGAUUUGAUUUGCAAAUUACUUUGCUUUUAAAUCAGUCUUUCUAAACCAAAGAGAAUGGAAGCUACCAAUUAAGAAGCUGUACUUAUUGUUCAAAACCAAAGAGAUUAUUAUAUUUGCGUAGAAAAAGAUAAUUUUUUAAGAAGCUAGAAAUUAUUCUUGAACUUACGUCUCUGUGAUCACCCUUGAAUACCAGAAAGUAAAUAGAGCUGUAAAAGAUCAAAAGAGUUGAUUUAGUGCACGUAAUAGAAAAUUGUGAAAAGGCCAAUAAUAUGAAAACACCAACACAAACUAGAUGGCAUUCAACAAAAAGAUGAAAAUAUAUAGCAAGGAAGAUGAAGUUUCAUGAGGAGCAGUUCCUCAAAACUUACCUUCACUGAACUAUCCUCUGAGCUGUUUCUUUUGCCAAGUGGAAAUCAAGGUAAGAAGAAAGUUUGCUUUUCAGAAAUAAAAUAAAGGUUGUAGGUUUUUGUUUCGUUUCCCCCUUAAUUGAGACAAUACAAGAAAAUGUGAAAACUGAAAAACAAAUAGUGGGAACGACCAGAAACACAGAUUUGAGAAUUUGAAAGCAAAAACAAAUUUGUUGACUUUGGAUGAAGAAAAAACAAUGGGAAGUCGUUGGUUCAAGUUCAAUGUUUUCUUCAUCAUUAAUUUCAUUUGUUAUUUAGUGGAUGACAAAUAAAGACUCUACUCUUUAUCCACCUUUCAAAGCCUGCUCCACCACAUGACCUAUUCCCUUCUCCAAAUGGUACGAAGUUGUUUGCUAUUGCUUUGCUCCCAACAUUCUUUAUUUAUAUCUAUAUUUAUAAAUAUGCCCUUCAAAAUUUUUAAAAUUUAUUAUUCAAUUCUAUCCUUUUAAAACAUAAUGGUUUAUGUAGUCUUUCAACUUUAUGAAAAAAGUUAUUUUAACAUUUUUUUAAAAUAUUCAUCACUUUUAACCCUUAAAUUUGUAUUAAUUAUCAAAUCACCAGAAAAUAGACGAAAAAGUUAACCUUUGUUAACUUUGCUAACAUGAUAUACGCGUAGACGUCACAUAACAAUAAACAAAUUAUUUAAAAAUUAUUAAAAUUAUUAAAAAAAAGUAUAAAAGAUAUAUUUUUUAAAAUUUUUAAUUUAAUAUAUUAAAAAAUAUAUAAUAUUUGCUUUAAAAUUAAGCAUCUCUCUUCAAAUGAAUGAUAGAACAAAUUAAAGUUUAAUAUAUUUUAAUAAAAUAUUAUAAAUUAUCAACAAUUUCUUAGCCUAGUGACAAGAGUAUUAGGUUCUAGGUAUAAGAGCUUCGGUUUAAUCCCAAACAACCCCUACCCCACAUUAUCAAAAAAUUAAAAGAUUAUAAAUUAAAUAUAUAAUGUCAAAUUUAGUCCUUAAUUUUUAAUCUUUUGUUAAUUUGACUCUUAGAUUUCUUUUACCAUCAACCUUUCAAAACUAGUUAAGUUAUUAAGUUUUUAAUGGAAAUGCUUACUAAAUUAUUAAUUUUUAAACAUGGUAACACAUGUAGUAAUUCACAUGUACUUUAUGCUAAUUGUUUUGAAUUUUUAUGAACUUUUUAUAAUUUUUUUUUUAAUUUUGAAUAUGUUGAGGUAAGUUUUGAAGUCACUUGUUAAGUGUCAAUUAGAAGUGUUCACUUUCAUUUUUUUGCGAUAAUUUGAUAUUUGUAUUAUUUGAUGUUAUUCAUUUACUGUAAAAGAAAGUUUCGUACUUUCAAUGGUUCUGAUAUUCUUUUUGGUAGAAAAAAAAUAGCUUAAAACAAAAAAACUCAAAAAGUUACACUAGUGACUAAAAGCAAGAAUAUAAUCCGCCUCAAAUCAACGAAUUUCUAUGGAAUUAGUCGUUAUACACUUGGCCAUAUGAUCAACUAUUGUAUUUUGCGACCUCGGAAUAUGACGAACAAGGACCUUCCAAUUUCGACUCAAUAAAUGAUGGAUAAGACACAUUUUAGUCAAAUAACUAUCUGCAACUCCACCAGCUAAAAUCAGUCAACUAAGAGAGCUAUCAUAUUCCACUUCCAAUUAUGCUUAAUGUUUGGAUGUAUGCAAAUUUAAAUUUAAAAUUCAAUCUUUAAAUUAUGAAGAAUGAAUCAAGAUCACAUUGAAGAUAUUGAAGAAUCAAUCUCUAAUAACCUAAUUCACAUUUAUUUUUAUUAGUAUAUUAUAUUCUACUAUUGUUUUGAAUGAAAGACCAAAUCAGGAAUAAAAUUUGAUAAAGUUCCAAGGUUUCUAAAAUUAUGUGUUUGCAUUUUAUGAAGAAAAUUCCAUCUCUAAUAUUCCAUGGGCAUAGACUUUCCUAUUCUUAAUUGCUCGAAGAUGGCGUAUUGACUUCGCAAGUGAGACUAUCAUUUAUAAAAUUUUGAAUUAAUAAUAGUAAAAUUAUAUUUUGAUUCAUUCAAAAUUAAUUAAAAUUUGAUAUAAUCAGUUAAAAUUUAUAAAAAUAUAGACUAUAAAAAUUGUGAAAUUACACUUUUAUUAUCGUAAAAAUAUAUAAUUUAAUUCUGAUCCCAAACAAAAAAAAAUUCUAACUCAAUCACUGCAGGUAACGUUGUUUAGAUGUGAAUAAUUUAAACCAGAAUUGUCAAUGUGGGGCUCCAAAAUUAUUGAGAGUUUCCACCAUUGAAUCUGAGUUUUCCUUUGUGUUUAUUUGAGGAGUCUUUCGUCUAUCAGUUUCUUAUACAAGACAAAUCUUUAAUUCCACGAAAUAAAACUUAAGGUAGUCAAAGAUCAAAUUCACAUUAUAUAUAUUUUUAAUAUCUCUUACAUUUUGAUGGCAUUAUAUAGUUUUAAAUGAUAUAAUAGUUUUUAACAAAUUUAAGUAACUUUUAUAAUUUUUUGAAUAUUAUAUGUACUAAAUAUUUUAUAUCUUUUUUAAAAAGUUGAUUUUUAAAUUUUUAAAAAUUAAGUUUUUUUUCAUUUAUAUUUUGUUAAAUUUUUAUAACUAAGGCAAAAUCAAUAAACUGUAUAAAUAUCGAGGGUUAAUUUUGUUACUUCUUUUAAAAUUUAGGAUUAAAUUAACAAAAUAUGUAAAUAUUGAACUUACAACAUUUUCUCCGAUGACCACAGACUUUUUAACUAUGGAGUGAAUACAACAGAAAGUGAAUAAAAUAACAAAAGAGAAUUUGGUAACCAAAACAGAACAGUCUAAAACUUGGAUGAUGAUUAUUAUUUUAGCUGAAUCAACUAUAUUAGAUAACUGAAAUGGUCAAACCAUACAACACAAUAGUUACAUAAAAAACAAUGAACUCGUAUCAACAUCUUAUUUAGCCAACUCAUUUGCCCAGCUAUUAGACUCCCUAGAAACAUACAUAAAAUUGAUAGAUCCAAUAGCAUUCACCAGAGUGUCCACACGUUUAAAUACUUUCGCAAAAUUCCAUGGUUGAAUACACGGGUUUGAGCACCAAGAAAUAGAAAGCAUGGGAUCCGACUCAAUGACAAGGUGUUUACACCCAACCCAACCAGAAUUUGCAAAGAUCUCCAAACCAUUCUCAAUGGCCAACAAUUUAGCGUUUGCAGCGUAUCCCUCACCCAUCGGACCCGAACACAAGGCUAGAACACAUCCAUUCUUGUCCCCAAGUACUCCUCCCAUUUCAGUCUUUCUGAGACAGCCUCUAGAGGAGCCAUUCAUGUUAAACUUUACAAAACCAAUUGCAAGAGGUAGCCAAAGAUUCGAGUUGUGAAUGAAUAAAAACAACACUCCGGAGGGUUAUUCCACCAACAAUCUCCCUAAUAAAUGCAACUUUAAUCUAGAAAUUAAGGAAGUGAAGCUUUGUCAAAAGCAAAUGUUCACCCAAUGGCAACAAUUUCCCCCUAAAGAUCAACUCGUUACGAGCCAACCAAAUCGACCAAAGUCCAGCCGCAACGCAAAUUAACCAGUGUUACUUAGCUUUUCCAUUUAAAAAUAAACAAAAGCUCCCCAACAAGAAGCCAUCCAAGGAUCAAUUUAGAAAAUGGUACGAAACAGAAAUGGAGAAGAGUUCGGUGGAGAAAAUAGGAGAAAGAAAGAGGAAGAAAGAGCAAGAGAGAAGAAAGAGAAGAUUUUGAGAAAACUUGUCAUGUAAUUUCAUAACUGUUUCUGUCAUUUGUCUGGUGGCUAAAUAGCAAAAUUAACAAACUCAUGACAGCUGUGCCAUCCAGAUAAUACAACCCGCUUCAUUAAAUUGUCUUAUAGGUUGCAAAACGCACCAUUUUGCACCAUAGCCUUCCCCACCUAGUUGGAAUGCCCCGUUUUAUUUAAAUACAUUGAAAAGCAUGAUUACAAAUUUAAAAUUGCAUAAACAGAAAUUAGCAUAAUUUUAAAAGUGGUCUCGAUUUAAAAAUUUGAAAAUAGUGUCUCGAUUUUAUUUGAAAAAAGAGUCGCCAUCGAUCUUUUUUCUAGGUGUGAUCGGACACCUUAAAAAUUCUUUUUUUUAGAAAAAUUUAUUUUUAAACUUUUCUAAAAAGAGGUAAUUUUAGGUCCACGUCAAAAUCCAGAGAAAAUUAGGGUUCGGGAGUUAGUUACGCGCGAGGAAGGUAUUAGCACCCUCGCGACGCCCAAAAUUGGUAUCUCGUUAAACGCGCAUUCUCUUCAUUUUCAGAAAUAUGAGUUCAAUUUAAUAUUUACUCGCGAUUCGAUUGAAACAUGAGACUUUUAUUUUUAAAACACGAGAAUUUUGAAGCACGAAUUUUUUUAAAAAAACACGAAAGUUUUUGAAACACGAGAAUUUUGAAGCACUAAAUUUUUAAAAAAAAAACACGAAAGUUUUUGAAACACGAGAAUUUUUGAAAACACGAAAAAUUUUUGAAAACACGAAAAUUUUUGAAACACCGGAAUUUUUGAAAACACGAGGAUUUUUGAAACACAAAAAUUUUUGAAAACACAAAAAUAUUUUAGAACACUGAAAUUUUUAAAACAUGGAAAUUUUUUGAAAACAUGAAAAUUUUUGAAAACACAGAAAUUUUUAAAACACGGGAAUUUUUUGAAAACAUGAAAAUUUUUGAAACACGGAAAUUUUUAGAAAACACGAAAAUUUUUUGAAUCACCGGAAUUUUUGGAAACACGAAAUUUUUUGGAACACCGGAAUUUUUGAAAACACGAGGAUUUUUGAAACACGAAAAUUUUUGAAAACACAAAAAUUUUUAAAACAUGGGAAUUUUUGAAAACAUGAAAAUUUUUGAAACACCGGAAUUUUUGAAAACACGAAGAUUAUUGAAACAAGGGAAUUUUUUGAAAACACGAAAAAUUUGAAAAACAGAUUCUUUUUUUAUUUUUAUUUUUUUAAAACACGAAUAUUUUUGAAACCACGGAGAUUUUUUUAAACACAAAUUUUUCGAUUUUUUAUUAAGCACGUAUUGUAUUUAACACAAACCGGUGAUAUUCACUCAACACAGCAAUGAAAUCAACGAAUUGGUGUCAAAUCGAUUCGUUGCCUUAUUUUUUUUGAAAACACGAAUAUAUUUUGAAACACAAGAAAAUUUUUUUUGAAGACACGAAAAUUUCGAAACACGGGAAUUUUUUUCGAAAACACAAAAUUUUUUGAAUAUUUUCGAUUUUUAAAAGGGAGUAUCGAGUUUAACGCAAACCGGUGAUAUUCACCCAACAUAGCGAUGAAAUCAACGAUUUAAUGUUAAAUCGAUUCAUUACCUUAUUUGUUAAAAUUAUUUAAAAUAAAAUAAAAUUGAAAUUGAAUUAAAUUAAAAAUAUAAAUACAAAAAUAUAAAAAUGCAUAAAGUACUGAUAAUAUUAAAACGAAAUAGUAUAAAAAUACGGACAUUAAAUUAAAAGUGAAAUAAACGAAAUUACCUAAAAAUCUAAAACACGAGCUUGAUUGGAAGGGUUAUGCAAAUUGAACCCUUUUUUUAUUUUUUUAUUUUUUUCUUUUCUUUUCUUUUUCUUUCUUUCUCUUUUUUUUCCUUUUUUCGGCCUGCUGGACCGUAGACUUCGGCCUGCUGGCCUUUAGGGGCUGCUGGACGGGCCCGGCCUGCUGGGCUGAUGGGGACUGGGCUGCUGCAGGCCUGCUGUUUGGGUUGCUAUUGGGCUGGCUAAAAAUGGCCUGCUAUUAUUUUUUUCUGCUGCUUCUUUUUUUUUUUUUGCUUUGUGUUUUUUUUGGGCUGCUUUGGGCUUGACUAUUGGGCUCGCUGGGUCGGGUUGGGUCACCGAAUCGGGUCGGGUCAGACUAGGUUCGGGUCGGUUUGACCCGAAUGUUAAUUAAAUUUUUUCUUUUUUUCUUUCCCUCUUCUUUCUUCUUCUUUCUUUCUUUCUUUCUUCUUCUUCUUCUUCUUCCUCAAAACCGAGCCACCACACCGCCACUUCUUUCACGCUGCCGUUCGAGCUACCGCCGUCGACUCCACCGGUCCUUUCUCUUUCCUUUCGAAAAAGCUCCCUUUUUGUGGGUUUUUUCUUUGAAAUUUUUUUGUGUUGGCGGUCUAAUUUUUGGGGUUUUAAGCCCCUUUUAUAAUUGAUUUUUUGUUCCUUUUGCAGGUAGCAAGUGGGCUAGGGAGGGCCUAGGUCGGCCGCCGCCGUUGCAGGUGCAACUUGUGUCGGUGGCUGCCAGAAGGACCCAAAUGUAAACGCAGCAAAAUUUUUGGGGCUUAAACGUAAUUUUGAGAAAAUUUUGGGCCAAAACGUAAUUUAGAGAAAGUUUAGGGGUAAAAAUGUAAUUUAGAAAAGUUUAGGGAUUGAAAUGUAAUUUAGAAAAAGUUAAAGGGUUAAAAUGUAAUUUUAGAAAGUUGAGGGAUCAAAAUGCAAAUUUUUUAAAAAAGAUUUUUCUUUUUUUUUUAAAACACGAAAUUAAUCCUGGACAAAAUUCAGUGAUUACACAACCCGGUUCAUUAAAUUGUCUUAUAGGUUGCAAAAUGCACCAUUUUGCACCAUAGCUUUCCCCACCUAGUUGGAACGCCCCGUUUUAUUUAAAUACAUUGAAAAGCAUGAUUACAAAUUUAAAAUUCCAUAAACAGAAAUUAACAUAAUUUUAAAAGUGGUAAACCAGUGUUGACUUUUCUUCUCGUUCCAUAACAAUUACUCCCUACUUGAAUUAGAUCAUUGUCCUCAAGUAUCAAAACCUAGAAAUUUCUUUUGGACCUUUUGCAAGUUCUCCCAUGUAGAAUCUUCUACAAAUGUUUAGCCCAUCCGACAAGCACUUCAGUAGCAAUGUGAUUCCCCUAUUUCACCAUUCGCUGAUCUAGAUUUCUUACAGGCUCUUUGGGUAGUGCCCUAUCUAAUCGGCUAUCUGUUUCAUCCUCUCUUGUGACCUAUUGAAAUGAAAUUGCAACAGCUUCCUAGCGUUCUCACGGUGUUGAAGACUUCGAUCAACUGUCGCUACUAUUAAGGAUCCAACAAGGUAGGGAAGAUGCAGUGGAGGGCUCUGGCCAUAUAGCGCCUCGUAUGGCGUGGUUUGAAUAGUCGAAUGGUAGGUGGUAUUGUACCACCAUUCUGCUAAGGGUAACUAGAACAAACAUUCCUUAGGGCAUUCACCUGUCAUGCAUUGCAGAUAUCCUUCUAGACAAUGGUUCAAGACAUCAGUCUGCCCAUCUGUUUGUGGGUGGUAAGUAGUGGAUAAAUGCACCCUAGUACCCAACUGUUUGAAUAACUAUUGCCAAAAAGUGUUAACAAAAAUCUUGUCACAAUCGGAUAUUAUGGACUUGGGGGCUCCAUGUUGCUUGUAAAUAUGCCUCAUAUAAUCUUGAGCAACAGUCAGUGCUGUGAAGGGAUGAACAAAAGCCAAAAAGUGGCAGUAUUUGGUUAAUCGAUCUACCACUACAAGGAUCACAUUCUUGCCUUGGGACUUUGGAAGACCUUCCACAAAAUCCAUGCUAAUGGCCUCCGAAGCUCGAUAUGGUAUGGGAAGGGGUUGUAGAAGUCUUGGAGAAGCAAACAGAUCAGCCUUACAUUUUUGGCAAAUAGAGCAUUCUCUAAUCCACAUCUUUACAUCCUUGGAUAAGCCUUUCCAGUAAACUAACCUUGAUAAUCGGUGCCUCAUAGCAUGUACACCCGAAUGUCCCCUAGUAGGGCCACUGUGAAAGUAAUCGAAUGACUCUUUUCUGAGAUUAGGAUCAUUACCUACCACUACCUUUCCUUUCCUUCGAAGCAUUUUACCAUCCCAAGAAUAUCUAGAAUGGGACUGAGAAUUCUAUUGAAGUUCCUGGCAUAUUUGUUGCAAUGAUGGAUCAAUGAGACACGAUUCCUUAACUCGAGCCCACACAUCUAACCAGGAAAUGUUGCUUAUGCAUUGCAAAAAUUACCAUUCAUGAACCCUAUGAGACAAGGCAUCUGCCACCUUGUUUUGGCUGCCCUUUCUAUAGGAUAUAUAAUAAUCAUACCUUAGCAUUUUCACCACCUAUUUUUGUUGGAAUGGUGUAAUUGUUUUUUUGUCAGCCAAGAACUUUAAACUGUGAUGGUAUUUGUCUCAUAUUUCUUUUCCAUCGUCAUAUUUGCAUCAAAUUUUCUCUCCAUUUCUGAAACUAUUUUUGCUCUCAAUAUCAAAUCAAUCCCCGAUAAUUCGAUUCUCUAUCAUUUGUUGAAUUCAUCGUUGAUAGCUUCCGUAACUCCAUCAAGUAUGGUAAGUGCCUCUCGAUCUAAAGUUUAGGACCCCAAAUUUCAUAAAUUUUUUAUCCGACAUUGAUCUUACAAAUCAAUUAGUCAAUCUUUCACGGUUCUUGAUAAAUCUUUCGUUAAUAUACAAAUGUUAACUCUUGUAUAAUUGUCGUUCGAAGGACCCAAUUUAAGGAUCCUGGAUCAGAUUUGAACGUGAGGGACAUCGCUCAAGAUCUCGACGAAUUAGAGAAAAAUUGUGUCUAUGAUAGCACCACAUAGUCUUCUACACAAGUGUGUGGGUCACACGGCCCCUGACACGACCAUGUCCCCUUGAAACCCAAGGAUCUUCGAUUCUCACACAGCCUAGGACCCUUCAUAUGACCAUGUCUCCCUUGCACCCUAAUUUUGCAUGAUCUAUAUGGCCACAGUUUGUCACACAAUAGUGUAACCCCUUCACAUGGCUAAAGGCAUUGCACACAGCCAUGUGCCCCUAUUUUAAAUUUUUACCUAGAAUUUUAUGAUUUAUUCAGAUUAGUCCCUGAAUAGUUUUUGAACUAUUUUUAGUGUUUUAUUUUUAUUUAAUUAAGUCCCUGAUAAUAUGGAAAAUGCUAGAAUCCACGACAUGAUUGACUAAAUUAAUGCUAUAUAUAAUUGCCUAUAUUGUGAAUGAUAUAUAUGUUUAUUAUUUAAACAAAGUCAUGUUGUGCUCUAUCUAUAAGUAUAAACAAAUAAUCAAAAUAAAUUUCACUUCUUCUUGAAUGAUUUGAUUACAUAGAGAGUGACAUUCUUUAGAUCUUAUGCAUAUUUUGAGUUAUAUAUAAGAAUGGAUACGAUAUUAUAUAUUUGUUGUAAAUUGUUUUUUAUUGUCAAGGUUGUGGUUCUUAGGAAAUAGACCGUGGACUAUCAUCUCCAUGUAGGGCCAUUUUUUUAAAAUUCAUAGAAUUCUUGUAAAUCGAAAACGGACAUAAGACUUAAAUCACAACAAGAAAUUAAGCUUUUAGCGACGUUUUUAGUGGCGUUUGAACCAAAAAUGUCGCAAAAGUUAUACAUUAGUGGUGCUAAUCGAAAAACACCGCAAAAGGCUAUAGCUAUAGCGGCGUUUAUGUGAAAAACGCAGCAAAAAAUCAUUUUAUUUUAAACAAAACGACGCCGUUUUGCUCCCUGUAUUCUUUUCGACAACUCAUGCACUCUUUCAUCCUCUUCUAUGUAUUAUGUAACUAGUUUCUUUAUAUUAAUUAAAAUACAAUUUAUUUUUAAUUUAAUAUUAAAAAGCUUCAAAAAAAAUUCAUGACACGUAGAAAACAUUUGAAAGUAAAAAUAUAGAAAAAUAUAUGUUAAAAAGAAAAAAUUUAAAAUACUAUUAUUUAAAAUAAUUUUAUCUGCUGUAACAAACUGAUUUCUAACCAGAAGAUUUUGAUUGGGGAUUCUAGUUUACAGAGAGGCUUGACUCCUUUUGUAGAUGAUGGCCUCAUUGAGAUAGUUGGAUUUAGAAAUGUCCUACAUGGUCUUGUUUUGCUUGCUCCAAAUGGACAUGGGACUCAUUUAGCACAGGUAGAACAAGAAGGUUCAUGACUGGUUUGCACUCUUUAACCUCAGGGAUUUUGAAAUUUUGGAGAUUAGACUGUAUUUGGGAAUUUGAAGAUAUAGUGGAAAUUGUAGCUCCUAACCAGAUUAGGUUCAUUGAUUAUGAGGUUGGAUCCUUCAUUGUUGGUAUAUAAAUAUUAUGAGUCGGGCAUAACUAUGAUUGUAACUUGUGAGCAGGGUUAUUAUACCGUAUCGAUAUUGAUAAAUUUAUUGAAGAUAUUACCUUUGUACUGUUUUGAUUUUUGUUGCCCGGGAUGCAAUCUUUCUCCCUGUUUAGAGCCCAUGUUUGUAAGGUGUGCCAAAAGUUGAACUUGAAUUAAAAUAUUUUUUUUAUAUUUAAAAUUUAAAUUCUAAAUUUAAAUUCAUUAAUUUUUAUAUUUAGUUUUAAAGUUAAAAUUUUAAUAGAAAAUUUAAUUUAAUUAAUCUUAUUUUUAUUUAGUAUAUAGUCUAAAGUUCAAAUUUCAAAAAUAAAAUAAAAUAAAAUAUUUUAUCAUAGAAAUAAAUAUUAUUUAAUUUAAAUAAAUUUUUUUAAAGGUCAUGUUCUUUAGCGGCAUUUGUGGGAAAAGCGCCGCUAAAGGUCAUGUUCUAUCAUACAGAAAUUAUAUCAUACAGUUAACUAAAAACAAUCGAGCAACAUUGCUCCACCUACUGAUGUAACAUGGCUUUGAAAGCUACCCUAAAAUCAUCCAUUCUUUCAUGCAAUGUGUGGUAGUUGACUCUCACCCCUACCUCGGAUCCAAUAUAUAUUCUCGUUGAAAAUUGCAUUUUGAAUAGUGGUAGACUCUUCAACCGCAUCUUGCUCAACCAACUGAGGUGCCUUAGAAAAAAAUUGAAGAAAAUUUUAUAACUGAAACUUUAAUCUCAUGUCAUCAAGGAAAAAAAAUAAGAAACACAUAUAUACUCAAGGAAUUUAAUUAAAAAUUUUGCAUGUUAUGCCUUGAGUUGUAAUUAUUAUAAUUACAUAGAAUAAAGUAGGAUUAAAGGGUUGUAGGAUAUAUACCUUUGUUUUGAAAUGUACAAAUUCCUGUGAAUCAAUGAAGAAACCAGUAGUCAACUUAGGGCAAUCUCUUACUUGCAACCUUAUCAUUGCUGGGAAUACAGAAUGAUAUCCUUUGGGACAAAAGUGAAUGAGGCCAGGCAGUUCUUCAAGUAAUAAAAAAUUUAAUUUAUCAAAUUUCAUCUCCUUUGCAGGUACCACUUCCACUUCAUCUUCUAAUUCGAAUACUUGUUCCAAUUUAGAAUUCCUUAUAACUAUGAGAGUUUCAAGCUUUGGAAGAACAGGAACAAAUCCAAAAGGAAAGAGACUGUUCAAAUUUUUACAAUUUGUAACAGUGAUCCGAGUCAAAUUUGGAAAGCUCAUAGGUUGGAGGCUAGUAUCACAAUUUGAUGAUGAUGAAGAAACUUGAUCCUUGGCUAAAAUGAGUCGUUCUAUUUCCUCACACUCCUCGAUGAAAAGAUCCUUCAAAUGUGAUAAAAUGCGAGCCAUCAUAGGUGAAAAUAUAUAUCUUAGCUUCUUGCAAUCUUUUAGUGUUAGAGUUGUAAGGUUCUCAAGGGUUACAACUUGAGCAAAAUCGUUCCAUAUAACCCGCACUUCAAAUAAAUUC
Molecule: long non-coding RNA, 65073 nt
Filed under: Gossypium raimondii (Peruvian cotton)
Lineage: Eukaryota; Viridiplantae; Streptophyta; Magnoliopsida; Malvales; Malvaceae
Description: long non-coding RNA (GRAI_LNC007844)
Source: RNAcentral